This 55216-nucleotide long non-coding RNA is filed under the name Hordeum vulgare. RNAcentral's name for it is "long non-coding RNA (HVUL_LNC002650)". The stretch from base 17865 to 18000 matches the Rfam family "MIR1120/MIR1122 microRNA precursor family". Lineage: Eukaryota; Viridiplantae; Streptophyta; Magnoliopsida; Poales; Poaceae. The record is from RNAcentral.
GUUGAUUCAAACUGAGACACGAAACAAACACAAUUCCUGGUUUCAUUUUCAACCCCCGAACACCAAUACAUUCAUUCAUCGUUGCUUAGAAGAUGCCCCGGUACGAUGUCGCACCAUCAAUCAAGGAAAGAUUGCCAGGAGAUGGAGAUAUCCCAGUACAAGACAUUGGUGUUGGUCGCGUCAAGCUGGGCAGCAGAAUCCUCCUCUAGUUUGUUUGUUUGUUUGGCCGUUUGUGUGUUUGUCUGUUUACCAACCCGCCAAAUAAAGAAAAAGUACUAGAUCUAUUGAUAGAUAGAUAGAUAGGAUUACAAUAACUAGUGCGAUCUAGUCUAUAUAAUUAGUUAAGCUACUCUUAAUUUCAUCUCCAUUCCAUGCACCAACCCGGCUUCUUGGUCAGCAACCACACAUCCUGUGUAUAUGGAUAAAAACAGAGUGAGUACAUACAUUUCAGGNNNNNNNNNNNNNNNNNNNNNNNNNNNNNNNNNNNNNNNNNNNNNNNNNNNNNNNNNNNNNNNNNNNNNNNNNNNNNNNNNNNNNNNNNNNNNNNNNNNNAAGGAUGGCCGAUGCCCCCGACCCUCUGGAACCCCUGGAGCCAGAUCCCGUAACAGGUAAAGCACAUGUACCAACUUUUUCUAGUAUUUGCAUUGCGCUGCCGCGCCGUCCAUCACCGGCCGCGGCCGGCCACCAACAGCGUGCCGUAGCCGAGCGAUGGCAAAGAGAUGCAGGGCAGGGGACAAGGGGUGAGGUCGACGCCACGAGGGAGCGCAAGAUCGACAUGUGGUGGUGAACCGGCCGGCCAGCCGAUGGCCGACUGGUGCCCUUCACGGCAUUGUCUCCUUUUCGAUGCUGCGGCGCCGGCCAUUGGUGGCCGAUUACCUAAGGUUUUGGUCUUUACGACCCCGAACAUUAGCAAUCGCUUGCCGCCGGUCGGCCAUUGGUGGCGGAUUACCUAAGGUUUUGGUCUUUACGACCCCGAACAUUAGCAAUCGCUCGCCGGCGGCAAUUUUCUUACUUUAAAGCUGACGCCUUUACGACCCCGGACAUCAGCAACUGCUCGCAGCCGGCCGGUCUCUCUCAUAGCCACCGCGCGCCGAGUUAAGUGACGUUUGCACCGAGCAUCAUGUCAAGUCGGCCGUCUACAUAGCAGCAAAGGGCCUUGAUCUAGGCAAAGGCCCAUGCCCAACAGCAGGAUUAGCGAGGGUGAGGGGGAGANNNNNNNNNNNNNNNNNNNNNNNNNNNNNNNNNNNNNNNNNNNNNNNNNNNNNNNNNNNNNNNNNNNNNNNNNNNNNNNNNNNNNNNNNNNNNNNNNNNNUAGCUAACUAGCAUCAUGAACCCUAAGCAUGAACAUCAAACACAACACCUAUCUAGCUAACCAACACGAUACACACAUUGUUGCGCAUGACCACUAAACAUGAACAUCAAACCCAACACAUAUCUACCAUGCCCAUGAACACAGUGCACAUCAUGAGCACUAAGCACUAAGCCCUAAGUAGUAUGCACUACACAUGAACAUGAAACACACAACAAUCUUGCAUGCCUAUGAACAAUGCUCUCGUGCUGAUACGUCUCCAACGUACCUAUAAUUUUUUAUUGUUCCAUGCCAUUAUAUUAUAAAUCUUACAUGCAUUAUAUGUAUUUAUAUGCUGUUUUAUAUAAUUUUUUAGAACUAAACUAUUAACUCAGUGCCAAGUGUCAGUUGUUGUUUUCUGCGUGUUUUUGGCUUUUCAAGAAACCACUACCAAACGGAGUCCAAACUCUAUGAUUUUUUGGCGAUUUUUUCUUGAGAAAAGAGGACCUGGAAGANUUCGGAAGGAGGCCAGAAGCUGCACGAGGAGACGACAAGGCAACAGGCCGCACCUUGUUACCUUGUGGGCCCCUCGUGGCUCCGUCUGACCUAAUUCCACGUCUAUAAAUUCUCAAAUAUUGGGAAACCAAUAGAGAGCCACCCGAAACACUUUUUUCGCCGCCGCAAGNNNNNNNNNNNNNNNNNNNNNNNNNNNNNNNNNNNNNNNNNNNNNNNNNNNNNNNNNNNNNNNNNNNNNNNNNNNNNNNNNNNNNNNNNNNNNNNNNNNNUCAACAACCUAUUGCAGUUAGGUAUGUAUCACCAUGUCAAACAUACAUGUACAAUAUCCUACUUACAGUCCGCUUAAUGCCACCCUCCAGGACAAUAGAGUAAAUCUACAAAGGAAAACAGAUGAAAUUAAACAUUUGGCUAUAUGUUGCACAUUCCAUUUUCACAACAUAAAAUCACAGUUAGUGGCUAUACAGUUUGUUGCAUUGUUACAAAGAUAUGGCAUGUGCCCCCAUUGAGUUCAGCACGUAGUAUUGGUUUGUGCACAUGGAAAUUGUUAGACUCAUAUACUUCCCUCACAGCAUCUUUGUAAGUUCUCUGAAAUAUUUGUGAAACCGUACGAAACACGCAAAAUCACAAAAGCAUGUCAUCCGUGCUCUAUUGCACAAACGUUUUGAUGUAGUAGGAUGCUAACAUUUCCUUUAUAGACAAGCCUCCAGAUCUGAAAAUAGAGGAGAUCUAUGUCCUUGAGGGACGCAUCCAUUUUCAGCUCCGUAAUGUACUCCUGAAUNCAAAUGGACCAGAUUGUGAGUACCACCAGCAAAUAACACCACCUCAAUUAGCAGAAGACAACAUAUCCUACAUCAUAAGCAUAACCAGCUAAAUCUUCAGUCAUAUGAGGAAUGCCGGUUGCAAUCCUCAAUGCUUGCCUCCAUGCUCUAGUAUCCCAUUUUAUCCACUGAAGUGAAAAGAAGUUAAUGAUCAUGUGUAUGUAUAUGACUAAUUUUGUAAUUUUCUGUGGGGCAUACUUACAUCCUUNNNNNNNNNNNNNNNNNNNNNNNNNNNNNNNNNNNNNNNNNNNNNNNNNNNNNNNNNNNNNNNNNNNNNNNNNNNNNNNNNNNNNNNNNNNNNNNNNNNNGAUGGAACAAACAAGGCGUGGACAGGGGAGAAGAGGCGCCGCAAGCACCUGCCCCCAUCUCCUGCCACUGCCCACGACCACGCGGCAGACAUGGAGGAUGCCAUCCAAGGGCACCAAGGUUCGAUUUCUCAUGCGACAGACAUGGAGCUGCUGCUCAGAACAGAUUCGGCAGAAGGAGAAAGAUACGGGCCGGACGUCCUUAUCAGCGAGGAAGGCCAUGGAGACAUGGAGGACACCAUCCAAGGGGGUCAAGAUCCGAUUCCUCAUGCGACACCUAUGGAGGGCACCAUCCAAGGGGGGCAAGAUCAGAUUUCUCAUGAGACAGACAUGGAGGACACUUUCCAAGCGGGCCAAGAUUAUGAUCUUCUGCUGAACACAGAGCCGGCACAAGAAGAAAGCGAGCAGCGUUUCGGGCUGCACUUCCUUAUCAGCGAGGAAGACCGUGCCAAGUAUUCUCAACUUUUUCUUGCCAAUAUUCAGACGGAGGACGAUUAUCCUACUGACCUGCCACUUUAUAUGACAUGGGAGGAACACCACAAGAUAGAAGCGCGCCUUGCACGCUAUCGCAUCGCUCAUUACAAGGUACCUACAUGCCCUAUCAAUCAGUCACCGUGCAUCUUAAACUUUAUAUCUGUGUGCCAUAGUAGCUGAUUCAGUCUUCUGGUUUGGUUUGCGUGGGUGAUUUUAUCUCGUGUUUUUAUCAUCUGUGUGUAGGUUGUAAAUCCAGAGCGCGCACGUGAACUCAAGGAACUAGAAGAAUACACUGAUGAGGAACUUCUCCGCGAGUCAUACUUUGAGGCAUUAGAGAAUGAUGAAAAUUUUGAGUGGUACAUCCNNNNNNNNNNNNNNNNNNNNNNNNNNNNNNNNNNNNNNNNNNNNNNNNNNNNNNNNNNNNNNNNNNNNNNNNNNNNNNNNNNNNNNNNNNNNNNNNNNNNAAUUGUAUAUCCACUGAGAACGCAUUUGGUUGCCUCGACUGAAUAGUAUCUGCAUUUCAUGCACAUCUCAAGCCAGUCUGGUUUAACAAAAGCAGGCAAUAAACCAACAUCUGCAUGUUGUUUGGUUGCCUGCAUUGCGUCAAAGGCCACUUUAGACUGGCUGUUUGGUUGCUCGCAUUUGUGCUUAAAGGGUGAGCGGAUGCAAACCACACCUGUUUGGUUGGAUACACGUUUGUGUUCUGCUCACCACAUUCAAAUGUGAUGGUCUUCCCACCACAUUAUGCAUAAAAACAGGUAUAACACUAAAGUAGGAGGUAAACAACAGCUAAUAGCAGAUAAACAAGCAACUAAAUAGUCAUACUGCUAAACAAGAUUAGGUUUAAAGAUAGUAGGAGCAUCCCAUGCCCCCUGCGUGAACACGAGGUGCCGAACCCUAGAAAAAAUAUGAACAAGUUCCCAGCAAGUUCUCCCAUCACCGCAAACUAACUACAAGUUCAUCCUAACAUGUGCAGAGGGCGAAAGAAAGGUCACCGAUGUAGAUGUGCCUGCUGUAGCACACCUUGCACCCGAUGAAGCUGUCGUGGUUGUAUAUUUGAACCUUGAGUCAGAGGCCGAAAAUUCGCAGCAUGAUGAAGUCACCGGGGACGAUCCUAUGGUGAUGGCAGAAGUACUGCCGGCCCGGCCAAGCACCAUUUGACCGUCGAAGUUCUGGACCUAAACCCAGAACUCGCACCACUUGUUUGCCGAGAGCCUGCCCACACGCGGGAGCCUGACCGUUAGCCACUCCUUCAUCACCUCCACGAACAUGGGAGGGAUGACGAGCAUGGCAGGAUCCUCUUCGUCUCUGAUUUGCAUGUAGAAUCGAAGGUGCUCUCGGGACCCCUCCUCAUGGCCAGUCCUAGGAGCUCNNNNNNNNNNNNNNNNNNNNNNNNNNNNNNNNNNNNNNNNNNNNNNNNNNNNNNNNNNNNNNNNNNNNNNNNNNNNNNNNNNNNNNNNNNNNNNNNNNNNGCGAUGGUUAAGAGCACAAUUAACUAGUGAAUGGUGCUAGCCGCCGGUUGAGAUUUUUUUUUCAAAAAGGAGGCAAAGCCCCGGCCUCUGCAUCGAACGAUGCAUGCAGCCAUAUAUUAAAAUCAAAAGCAAGUCUCAGCAAAGUACGUGAAAGGUCUAGCAAAAAGUGAAUGAAAAGAUACAAGGCGUCUGUCGCGCCCAAACCGGAGAUGAUAAUAGACCUAGAUGACUAAGCACCUAUCCUAUUAAUAUGUCGUCAUCCAAACCGGUUGAAGAUACUCUGUGCUACCAUCUCUCAACGGACACACCCAGUAAACAUAGGCUCCCUGGCUUCCACAGAAGUGAGUAAUGACCACGUGUUGAUCAGUGUGGUAGCCCUGAAAAUAACCUACAAGAAGUGGAUAUCGCGUUGUCUGUUAAACACUAAGUCAUUUCUGCAAUUCCAUAGAGCCCACGAUAGUGCAUAUGAUCCCACACGAAUAAGUUUAGCAGUUUAAACAGUAACCCCCUGUAACCACAUCCCAAAUAACGUGUUGAUACUAUUAGAAAAACUAAUGUUGAAGCCGCCGGUCGAGAUGGUCAUGAGAAAAAUGCUCGUCCUCCACACAACAAGACCUGACUUGAACAAUUAAUUGUAAAAUGUUUGAUGGUGCAAAAAAGAGACCCACGUGCACAUUUUUUUGUGCAUCUGAAACAUAUUGUUGCAACAUUUAUUUCCUAGUUUCUAUGAAAAGAGCAUAAAAACAUUUUAGCGCGUCCAUCUCGAUCCUCGGGUUAGCUACCAACAAAAUCUCUUUGUUAAAGCCCUGUAGCCACCAAGUCUUGCGAGCGAAAGCACAUUGAUGCAAAUCCACCAUCUUCCUUGAGCUUGGCAAAUCAAAGAACAAUAGUUUUGUGUUCCAACUCGUAUUCCAUCGAGAGUUGGUGGCAACAAGGGUNNNNNNNNNNNNNNNNNNNNNNNNNNNNNNNNNNNNNNNNNNNNNNNNNNNNNNNNNNNNNNNNNNNNNNNNNNNNNNNNNNNNNNNNNNNNNNNNNNNNACUAAACUAUUAACUCAGUGCCAAGUGUCAGUUGUUGUUUUCUGCGUGUUUUUGGCUUUUCAAGAAACCACUACCAAACGGAGUCCAAACUCUAUGAUUUUUUGGCGAUUUUUUCUUGAGAAAAGAGGACCUGGAAGAUUCGGAAGGAGGCCAGAAGCUGCACGAGGAGACGACAAGGCAACAGGCCGCACCUUGUUACCUUGUGGGCCCCUCGUGGCUCCGUCUGACCUAAUUCCUCGUCUAUAAAUUCUCAAAUAUUGGGAAACCAAUAGAGAGCCACCCGAAACACUUUUUUCGCCGCCGCAAGCCUACAUUCCAUCGUGAUCCCAUGUGGAGCCCUAUUCUGGUGUCCUACUGAAGGGGGGGGGGACAAUCACGGAGGGCAUGUACAUACACCUUGCUGCUCCCAUGAUGUUACGUGAGUAGUCAACCACAGACCUACGGGUCCAUAACUAGUACCUAGAUGGCUUAUUCUCUCUCAUUGAUCUUUAAUACGACGUUCACCGUGAUUCCCACAGUGAUCUAUUCGAUGUAAUCUUAUUUGUAGUGUGUUUGUUGGGAUCCGUUGAAUUGUGGGUUUAUUAUCGUAUUAUUCAUGAAUAUUAACCGAGUCUUCUCUAAAUUCUUAUAUGCAUGAUUAUUAUAGCUUUAUAUUUCUCUCUGAUCUAUCGGUUUGGUUUGGCCAACUAGAUUGAUUUGUCUUUAGUGGGAGUGAUGGGUUGUGAUGUGUUCAAUCUUGCAGUGCUCAAUCCUAGUGACAAAAAGGGACAUGACAUGUAUUUGUAUUGCUGACAUUAAGGAUAAAACGAUGGGUUUUAUUCAUAUUACUUGAGUUUACUUUGUCUACAUGGUGUCAUCUUUCCCCAAGCAUUACUCUGUUUCAUACUUAAUACCCUAGAUGCUUGCUGGAUAGCGGUCAAUGAGUGGAGUAAUAGUAGCAGAUGCAGGCAGUAGUCGGUCUACUUUCAUAAAGGCGUGAUGCCUAUAUACAUGAUCAUUGCCUUGAAAUAAGAUGUCAUAACUAUGCGCUAUUUUGUCAAUUGCCCAAGAGUAAUCUGUCUAUCCAUCGUAUGCUAUCUUCAAGAGAGAAGCCUCUAGGGAAAACUAUGACCCCGGGUCUACUCAAAUUAUAUUAUAAAAACUACAAAAUAUUGCUGCCAUUUAUUUUCUUUAUAUACUUCUAUAUUUAUAUUAUCUAUCUAUCAGUAUUUAAUCCUUGCGAGUAACGAGUUCAAGGGGCUUAAGAACCCUCUUGCCCGUGUUGUGUGCAAGUGUUUGGUUCUAUGUUUGCACGUGCUGACAUUGAGAGUUUUCUUAAUACUCUGAUUUGUUUGGUAACCUUGCUUAUCACCGAGGUAAAUACUUAUAUCUACUAUGCUGCAUCUCGUUUCCUCUUCGGAAAAAAUCGAACGCAGUUUACAAGCAGCCGGAAGAAUUUCGAGCACUGUUAGUACGGAGUAUCAUCAAAUUCUUAUCAUGUUCCUUCACACACAUUAUCAUUCAAUUGUUCUAAUUUUUAUUUGCCUUUAUAUUUGCUUGCUUAAAAUUAUCAAAAACACAAAAAUAUUUAUCUUUGCUAGUUUACUUGCUUGCUUGUNNNNNNNNNNNNNNNNNNNNNNNNNNNNNNNNNNNNNNNNNNNNNNNNNNNNNNNNNNNNNNNNNNNNNNNNNNNNNNNNNNNNNNNNNNNNNNNNNNNNAGAGUGAGUCCGAGCGUUUGACCCGGAAAUGACACGCUAGGUUGGGUGGCGUUUUUUGUCCGGGCAUUGACCAGACAGCCCGUUCGGGUGCUUGGGGCAUGUAUAGGGGUUCGGUUGUAGAUGUUCUUACCUCCUUGCUAAAAGUUACUAAAAAUUAAUAGAUAUGUGAACAUGCCUCUUAUUUACAUCUGUAAUAUCAAAUAUUUAUUUUAUAGGCAUAUUUGGAAAAGCUAAAGAUGAAUAAAUACGUAAAACUACACACACGUAAAUGAGAAAAAAACAUUGUAGGAGAUAGGCAAUAGGUCAUUUCUGUUCGGUCGUUCAUCAUCGUCCGCCCAGGAUGGAUGUCGUCACCCUUGUUGCCACCAACUCUCGAUGGAAUACGAGUUGGAACACAAAACUAUUGUUCUUUGAUUUGCCAAACUCAAGGAAGAUGGUGGAUUUGCAUCAAUGUGCUUUCGCUCGCAAGACUUGGUGGCUACAGGGCUUUAACAAAGAGAUUUUGUUGGUAGCUAACCCGAGGAUCGAGAUGGACGCGCUAAAAUGUUUUUAUGCUCUUUUCAUAGAAACUAGGAAAUAAAUGUUGCAACAAUAUGUUUCAGAUGCACAAAAAAAUGUGCACGUGGGUCUCUUUUUUGCACCAUCAAACAUUUUACAAUUAAUUGUUCAAGUCAGGUCUUGUUGUGUGGAGGACGAGCAUUUUUCUCAUGACCAUCUCGACCGGCGGCUUCAACAUUAGUUUUUCUAAUAGUAUCAACACGUUAUUUGGGAUGUGGUUACAGGGGGUUACUGUUCAAACUGCUAAACUUAUUCGUGUGGGAUCAUAUGCACUAUCGUGGGUUCUAUGGAAUUGCAGAAAUGACUUAGUGUUUAACAAACAACGCGAUAUCCACUUCUUGUAGGUUAUUUUCAGGGCUACCACACUGAUCAACACGUGGUCAUUACUCACUUCUGUGGAAGCCAGGGAGCCUAUGCUUACUGGGUGUGUCCGUUGAGAGAUGGUAGCACAGAGUAUCUUCAACCGGUUUGGAUGACGACAUAUUAAUAGGAUAGGUGCUUAGUCAUCUAGGUCUAUUAUCAUCUCCGGUUUGGGCGCGACAGACGCCUUGUAUCUUUUCAUUCACUUUUUGCUAGACCUUUCACGUACUUUGCUGAGACUUGCUUUUGAUUUUAAUAUAUGGCUGCAUGCAUCGUUCGAUGCAGAGGCCGGGGCUUUGCCUCCUUUUUGAAAAAAAAAUCUCAACCGGCGGCUAGCACCAUUCACUAGUUAAUUGUGCUCUUAACCAUCGCAGAGGGUGAGAUGGCAUUUGUUUUUUACGUUUGCCACACACUUGUCAUGGUGAUUGUGGUACUCUCUUUGGNNNNNNNNNNNNNNNNNNNNNNNNNNNNNNNNNNNNNNNNNNNNNNNNNNNNNNNNNNNNNNNNNNNNNNNNNNNNNNNNNNNNNNNNNNNNNNNNNNNNCCCUCUCUUUUCCACUACAAGAAAUGUGCAGGAACUGUAAAAAAAGAAAUAUAGAUUGUGGCAAUGCUACAAAAUGUAAUGUACUCGUACACGGUUUGGUGCUAAAACAUGUAAAUGCCCAAAGCUAAGUUACAGAGCCUGCUGCAAGCCAGGCUACCAUCAAAAUGACCAUAUGUGUCCUAACAAAAAGACCAAAAUGCACAUGUUUUGAAUAGCUAGCACAAUAUUCAUCGUUUAGGUUGAACCAAUAUAAUUAUUUUGCGUAGCACAAAAUAUUAAGGCAUACAUCUUAUAGUUGUUCUUAACAACCAUGCUUGUUUCAAACAUAAAUUCAUGACCUUUUAUAACAAGGUGCACAUGAUUAAAUUGUUUCAUCAUAUAUCUGUUCAAAAACUGAAAACCAACUUUUUAUGUCAAUUUUAAUGUGUAGUGAAAUCAGUGCCAAACAUCCACGCAUAUAAAGUUUUCCUGUUUUAAGAAGACACCUACCAUUAAGUAUCAACACCUGUAGCUUAGGUAUAUCACCAGAAAGCCGCUUGAUAUACAAGUCUUCCAUUGAAAGAUCCGUGGGACACUUUUUCUGGGCAAUUAUGCUUUGCACAAGACCUACAAGUUGGCUACAUAGGGCAACAACAAGAAAUUUAACAACUGUGUAGAAAACGGAAGGCAUAUAUAGCAGAGUUUAAGGCAAAACUCACCUGAGCAUAUUUCUUACGAUAGGGCGCAUAUCGCCUUCAUCGAACAGUUCUAUGCUUUUCUUGGUAUCCAGCCAUUUGUCCAAUGAGCCAUCCACUGCAGAAACGACCACACACUCUGAAUGGAAGUAAUUUUCCACUUGCAUAGCUGCUGGAUGUUGCAAAGCACUGACAAAAUGGUAGUUCAUAGCCCAAUCCUUUGAAUUUCUGACCCCCCUCUUGACAAAUCUUGUUAAUUUCAAUGUACCAACUUGGUAAUUGCACUUCUGGAACUCCAUUUUCGUGCCAUCAAAAUCAAGGACCUCAUCAUUAUCACAGGGUUGUAGUGUAACGUUGCCUUUGAUUGUCCCCAGAAAACGGUAGCAAUCCCUAAUGGCUUGAACUGUUGGAAACAAAGUGAAUUGUCAAUUAGGAACUCAAUUAUGGAAGACUACUGCAAGUCUGCAACAAACAAACAAACAACACUUAGAUCUUGGGNNNNNNNNNNNNNNNNNNNNNNNNNNNNNNNNNNNNNNNNNNNNNNNNNNNNNNNNNNNNNNNNNNNNNNNNNNNNNNNNNNNNNNNNNNNNNNNNNNNNAAUGACACGCUAGGUUGGGUGGCGUUUUUUGUCCGGGCAUUGACCAGACAGCCCGUUCGGGUGUUUGGGGCAUGUAUAGGGGUUCGGUUGUAGAUGUUCUUACCUCCUUGCUAAAAAUUACUAAAAAAUAAUAGAUAUGUGAACAUGCCUCUUAUUUACAUCUGUAAUAUCAAAUAUUUAUUUUAUAGGCAUAUUUGGAAAAGCUAAAGAUGAAUAAAUACGUAAAACUACACACACGUAAAUGAGAAAAAAACAUUGUAGGAGAUAGGCAAUAGGUCAUUUCUGUUCGGUCGUUCAUCAUCGUCCGCCCAGGAUGGAUGUCGUCACCCUUGUUGCCACCAACUCUCGAUGGAAUACGAGUUGGAACACAAAACUAUUGUUCUUUGAUUUGCCAAGCUCAAGGAAGAUGGUGGAUUUGCAUCAAUGUGCUUUCGCUCGCAAGACUUGGUGGCUACAGGGCUUUAACAAAGAGAUUUUGUUGGUAGCUAACCCGAGGAUCGAGAUGGACGCGCUAAAAUGUUUUUAUGCUCUUUUCAUAGAAACUAGGAAAUAAAUGUUGCAACAAUAUGUUUCAGAUGCACAAAAAAAUGUGCACGUGGGUCUCUUUUUUGCACCAUCAAACAUUUUACAAUUAAUUGUUCAAGUCAGGUCUUGUUGUGUGGAGGACGAGCAUUUUUCUCAUGACCAUCUCGACCGGCGGCUUCAACAUUAGUUUUUCUAAUAGUAUCAACACGUUAUUUGGGAUGUGGUUACAGGGGGUUACUGUUCAAACUGCUAAACUUAUUCGUGUGGGAUCAUAUGCACUAUCGUGGGCUCUAUGGAAUUGCAGAAAUGACUUAGUGUUUAACAAACAACGCGAUAUCCACUUCUUGUAGGUUAUUUUCAGGGCUACCACACUGAUCAACACGUGGUCAUUACUCACUUCUGUGGAAGCCAGGGAGCCUAUGGUUACUGGGUGUGUCCGUUGAGAGAUGGUAGCACAGAGUAUCUUCAACCGGUUUGGAUGACGACAUAUUAAUAGGAUAGGUGCUUAGUCAUCUAGGUCUAUUAUCAUCUCCGGUUUGGGCGCGACAGACGCCUUGUAUCUUUUCAUUCACUUUUUGCUAGACCUUUCACGUACUUUGCUGAGACUUGCUUUUGAUUUUAAUAUAUGGCUGCAUGCAUCGUUCGAUGCAGAGGCCGGGGCUUUGCCUCCUUUUUGAAAAAAAAAUCUCAACCGGCGGCUAGCACCAUUCACUAGUUAAUUGUGCUCUUAACCAUCGCAGAGGGUGAGAUGGCAUUUGUUUUUUACGUUUGCCACACACUUGUCAUGGUGAUUGUGGUACUCUCUUUGGAUGACCGUGGUGACAUUGGGAAAUCCAUAGAUGAGAACUAUGAACUUCGAGGUGUGCUUUUGUAGUCCUACAUAAUUCUCGUCCUCUCUUGAUCACAAAGGAAUGAUCUCCAAGUACGUCUCCAUUUCAUGUUUUAGUGGAAAUAUCAUGUGAUUAGAUUAUGUUAAUGUUGUUGGAAGUUGCCACUAGUGAAAGUAUGAAGCCUAGGCCUUAUUUUCCACCACUGAACACCGUUUACUUUCAGUUUUGUUUCAUGUUUUCUUGCUUUCAUUUUUAUUUCAGAUUUAUAUUACCUUGUUUUACCAUCCAUAUCACUUGUCUUUUAACAUAUCUUCGUCGAACUAGUGCACCUAUACAACUGACAAUUGUAUUAGGUGUGUUGGGGACACAAGAGACUUCUUGUAUCUUAAUUGCAGGGUUGCUUGAGAGAGAUCAUCUUCAACCUCUACUUUCCCGAGUUCGAUAAACCUUAGGUCAUCCACUUGAGAGAAAUUGGUGUUGUCCUACAACCCUCUGCGCUUGGAGGCCCAACAUAAUCUACAAGAAUAGAAGCGUCCGUAGACAUCAGGAUGAAACCCUCUGAUUUAUAUAGACACCAGGGGUCCCUGGUUACAUACAACCGACCUUAGCCAGGGGUAAUUGUGCCAAUCUAGCCUACACAACUUGGAUGACAUGUGAGUCUUUGGAGCUUUCCUACUUGUUUACGAUAUCGUCAUGUAGUCCGAUCUUAAAUAAUGCGGCCCAUUAGGUCGGCCCACGAACAACAGCCCGACCGCCCGAGGACCCCUUAAUCCCGGAUUCCCUCACUCACGAAGGCAGCUGCUCGUCCAUCCCCACUAUAAACCAAGGCCCGGGUACCUAUAAAAAACAAAUCUGUUUGUCUAAGGGUUAUAUAAUUCAAGAACGGCUAUAAAUUGGAAAAUGUUAAUUCAAAAUAAAUCAAAGUUCCUCUUUCCUAAAAAACAGCUUUGCAAUAUCAAAUUAAUUACAGUUUUCAUGAACAUGACUCAACUUGCGAACAGAUCACUUGUUCCUCUGUCAUCAAGAUGUCACUUGUUUGUGUACAUUAUAAUUAUUAUUUGACUCUUUAGUGUCAUCUUCUAUAAUCUGUAAAUGAUGUAUCAGUAAUGAAACAAUUCGAGGUUGUGCUGCUGUUGUAACUAGUAGAUGUUUCUGGGUAGUGAACUAAACUAAAUUGUUGCAUUUCACUUCUUAGACUUAUCUCACUUGUUAUUGAAUUUCCAACUAGUAAAUUUGCAUGCUAGCCUCAUCAAAGAUACAUGAAUUGUUUGUAAAACGUAGUGUUACUGUACUUAUGUUGUAAUUUAGUACAUCAGAUGAUAUGUAAAAUAGCUCUUGUGACAUCAAGGUUCAAAGAGAGAUGCAGUUUAAGUUGUCUGGUGAGCACACGCACACACAACAACCCAUAGAAAACCUGUAGUGGUGCAUUUUAAUCAAUCUAUUCAGAUGCCAUUUUCUUUUCUACUUUUCUACUAAGAUCGUUGCUGUCGAAAGGAAAAGUUGAACACACAACCAUGAGUACGUGUCCUAAAAAUCAGAAUACAACAAUUAUAAGUCAUGAGGAGAAAAAUCCAUCAAUGUGUACACGAAAACUGUUGUCCCCGUUCCAUGAUUAAGCAAAUCAGAAACUCUCUCCAACCCCCAAUCAACCAAAGACCGAGGAUGAUUUGCAUUCGUUCAACUUACUGUUUACAAUGCACAACCAUAUUAGACUACAAGCUGCAGACCAGAUCUUGUUAUCAUGUAAACAACUCACAUCUGCAUAGCCCCAAGCAAGCAUAUUAGCAAGAACUCCGUCCAAGCAAGCACACCCAUGAUCAGACCGACGACUAAAACCCUAGACAAAGGGUAGGGGGGAUGAGGUGGAACCAGUCCUUACGGGCGAAAAUUCCAGGCUGCCGGAAGGAUUUGGACGUCCGAGGCAUCAGGGGCUGAGGCGGCGUGUACGGCGGAGGGAAUGACGUGGAUGGCAGGUGGCAAGAGCCAAGAAGCCCCGGGACCCGAGGCAGGACCCACAGAUGGUCUGGCUCGGUUUGGACGGGAGUCGACGAAGACGGCGAGCCGCCGACGAACUUCUGGCCAAAGGGCGGAGGGCGGAGGAGGCUACGCCGUCAUAGUCGAGGAGAAAUUUCGCGCGGGAAGGGGAGGGUCUCCUCACACGCGAGUAUUAGGAGGGUUCGGGUUGUAAUUUUUGGGAUGAAGGGUUCGGGAUGGACCGGUCCAAUACGGGGAUACCGAAUGGGCCAGGGAAUUUUCGGAAUUUCUAUACCGGGUGGUAAAAUACUCGUUGAAACACGCAAAUACUGAACGAGGCCUCAAUGUGCAGCAAAUUAACGUUGGCCUGCCACCGAGUGCCCCAAACAAACAAGAGCCCGCACGCUCUGCUUCCCCCUUCCAUCUCUCGACAAGUGUCUACCCAGGGUUUCACCGCCGUCUCCUCCCACCGCCGCCGCCGCCUCCCGCGGCCGUAUCCUUCCUUGGAUCGACAUGCAGGGCGACGAUGGAACAAACAAGGCGUGGACAGGGGAGAAGAGGCGCCGCAAGCACCUGCCCCCAUCUCCUGCCACUGCCCACGACCACGCGGCAGACAUGGAGGAUGCCAUCCAAGGGCACCAAGGUUCGAUUUCUCAUGCGACAGACAUGGAGCUGCUGCUCAGAACAGAUUCGGCAGAAGGAGAAAGAUACGGGCCGGACGUCCUUAUCAGCGAGGAAGGCCAUGGAGACAUGGAGGACACCAUCCAAGGGGGUCAAGAUCCGAUUCCUCAUGCGACAGAUAUGGAGGGCACCAUCCAAGGGGGGCAAGAUCAGAUUUCUCAUGUGACAGACAUGGAGGACACAUUCCAAGCGGGCCAAGAUUAUGAUCUUCUGCUGAACACAGAGCCGGCACAAGAAGAAAGCGAGCAGCGUUUCGGGUUGCACUUCCUUAUCAGCGAGGAAGACCGUGCCAAGUAUUCUCAACUUUUUCUUGCCAAUAUUCAGACGGAGGACGAUUAUCCUACUGACCUGCCACUUUAUAUGACAUGGGAGGAACACCACAAGAUAGAAGCGCGCCUUGCACGCUAUCGCAUCGCUCAUUACAAGGUACCUACAUGCCCUAUCAAUCAGUCACCGUGCAUCUUAAACUUUAUACCUGUGUGCCAUAGUAGCUGAUUCAGUCUUCUGGUUUGGUUUGCGUGGGUGAUUUUAUCUCGUGUUUUUAUCAUCUGUGUGUAGGUUGUAAAUCCAGAGCGCGCACGUGAACUCAAGGAACUAGAAGAAUACACUGAUGAGGAACUUCUCCGCGAGUCAUACUUUGAGGCAUUAGAGAAUGAUGAAAAUUUUGAGUGGUACAUCCAUCGUGAUGACAUCCAGAACAUUGAAUUGAAUGACUACCAACGGAUUGUUCCUCGCAAUUUUGUAAGUGUACUAUUUAUAUCUACAUUUGGUCAUCCGAUUGACUAGUUUCGUUAUCAUAACCAUGGGUGUUCAGAAACCAUUUCGAAACACACCGUGAAAACCGGCAAUCAGUGAGGUAGUUCAUUUUGCUUCAGUGGCUCCAACAACAGCUGCAACAUUAGUAUAGAAUAUUGAGCCAUGGGUUUAUGGUAUGAGUUAAAACUGUUUUCGACAGCUUAUUCUUAAUAGAGGAUGAUGAUGAUGAUGAUUGAGCCCUUGCUUUGUGGCUACUGAUGGAUGCUUAGUACUUGUGGUGUUGGAUUCGAAAAGGUGGCCAGUUUUUUGUGUUUAUUCAAACUUUGGGCAAGCCUUCCUGCUGAUUUUAAUGAGUGAUCCCUUAAAAUCAGUCGGUUCUUAGCCGUUUCAUAUGUAACCUUAACUCGGGACGAAAUGCUAGGAAGGGUAUCCCACUUAGUUCUUGAACCUCCUUGAUUGCCUUAGUUUUAAAGCUGAGGUUUAGCAUUAGAAGAUAAAAAUAUCAUGAUUUCUGUGACUGCGGGGAGCAGUCCCAGGUUCAAAGCUAUGUUACCUUAUAUGUUUUGACAAACAUUACUAUUUUCAAAUUUCUUAUCUCUUUGAUUUUGUGCCGUUAAAUUUGGCUGCUGAAGUUAGUUGACGUUUGAAUUGCUUCUGAAUUAUAUCACGACCGUGUCUCAGUGGAUUAACUUGUUAAAGGUCAUUUAGUUAUACAUUACUAUUUUUUAGCAAGCUAGACUAUACUAGAAGGAAAUAAUGUGGAUCUUUAGUCAGUUACUUCUAUAGACAGUAUGUCAUCUCACUACACUAUAGCCAUUAAGUAUCUGCACUUUUGUGCCUUUUCAGACGUGUCAUCUGAUUCUUGUCCCUUUCUUUUUCGUAGCUGCCUGGUACGAGUGGAAGCCUGUACGGCUAUCACGAUGAGUACCGCUCGCGUUAUCAUACAUAUAAAAUUGAUGAUGCUUAUGUCAAGUACUAUGCAGAAAUUUCAAAGAAAAUCAAGGUAUGCAUUAUGUGAUCAAGCUGUUGAAUGAAAAAUACUACGAGUGGCUGGAAUGUUUUUAAAGUGAUAGAUUUCUUCUUGUAACAGUGGAUUGCAGAUUAUUUGCAUCUGGAUCGCAGGACUAAGGAUGUAAGUAUGCCCCACAGAAAAUUACAAAAUUAGUCAUAUACAUACACAUGAUCAUUAACUUCUUUUCACUUCAGUGGAUAAAAUGGGAUACUAGAGCAUGGAGGCAAGCAUUGAGGAUUGCAACCGGCAUUCCUCAUAUGACUGAAGAUUUAGCUGGUUAUGCUUAUGAUGUAGGAUAUGUUGUCUUCUGCUAAUUGAGGUGGUGUUAUUUGCUGGUGGUACUCACAAUCUGGUCCAUUUGAUUCAGGAGUACAUUACGGAGCUGAAAAUGGAUGCGUCCCUCAAGGACAUAGAUCUCCUCUAUUUUCAGAUUUGGAGGCUUGUCUAUAAAGGAAAUGUUAGCAUCCUACUACAUCAAAACGUUUGUGCAAUAGAGCACGGCUGACAUGCUUUUGUGAUUUUGCGUGUUUCUUACGGUUUCACAAAUAUUUCAGAGAACUUACAAAGAUGCUGUGAGGGAUGUAUAUGAGUCUGACAAUUUCCAUGUGCACAAACCAAUACUACGUGCUGAACUCAAUGGGGGCGCAUGCCAUAUCUUUGUAACAAUGCAACAAACUGUAUAGCCACUAACUGUGAUUUUAUGUUGUGAAAAUGGAAUGUGCAACAUAUAGCCAAAUGUUUAAUUUCAUCUGUUUUCCUUUGUAGAUUUACUCUAUUGUCCUGGAGGGUGGCAUUAAGCGGACUGUAAGUAGGAUAUUGUACAUGUAUGUUUGACAUGGUGAUACAUACCUAACUGCAAUAGGUUGUUGACAUUGAUAAGACCUUUGUGUAGGAUGAAGAGGAAAAGGCUCGGGCUGUGUUUAAUGAGUUAUCUUUCACUAGGGUAUUGUCUCAAUGAAUCCUCUAUGAUUUUGUUUUAUUUUCGUUUUGAAAAAAAUUCUCUAUGAAUUUAUAUGUGGUCAUGAUUGUUGUUGUUAUAUAAUUGGAUCCCUUGUUUCAGCAUAAAUCAAUGAACAUGGCUGACUAUGCUAAGAAGAAGGUGGAGAUAGCAGAUCAGUUGAAGUUGGACAAAAAGGUAUGCUAAUAAAUGUAUUUAUUGUUAAAGUAAGGUUAAUUCUCUCCCGAGAUAAAAAAACCCAGUAACUUAUGUGCGUGCCACUUUGCAGGGUGGAUUUGUUCCCUUUAGACCCUACGAUUGAGCAAGGAAAAAACUAGAUUUGUCCCUUUUGGCCUGAAAUGAGCCGUUGUUUUCUCAUAUAACAGCAAGACGGAAGUAUUACGAAGAUUGUAUUACAUACAUAACUAGCCCAGCUCAGCAGUCUGACAUUGUGGAUGACGAUUGGCUCAUGUUUUUAAAUUAGUGGACAUCCCCUGUUGUAAUGUUAUGCACUAGUACGUAUGCGUGAUGCUUGGUUUGUUUUCUGUACUUGCCAUCAAUAAUAGUAAGAUAGUGGUCACAUAAUGAGCAGGUCUUUUUAGGACCUGUCUGAGUAGCAAUAUACUAGUAUUAUGCAAUGGAUGUAUGUUGGAGUGAAAGACUAUAUUUUGAUUGUGGUAAAAAAUAUGCUUAGCUGCAAACAUGAUUCAUGAUGUUUGACUCGACAGAGCGAAAGGAUCAAUCACUUGAUUCAUGUUGAAAAGUCACUUGCUGUCCCAAACAGCAAGCCAGCCAGGCAAGUACCAAAAUAGUACUUCCUCCAUCCCAAAAUUCUUGUCUUAGAUUUGUCUAGAUAUGAAUGUAUCUAGUCACGUUUUAGUAUUUUGAUACAUCCAUUUCUAAACCAACCUAAGACAAGAAUUUUGGGACGGAGGGAGUACUACCUUCCAUGCUUGAUCUACACGGUUUUAUAUUAGUUUACAGGGGGAGUAUCUUCCAUGCUUGAGAAAUGAGAAUGUGAGCUUUGAACAGAGGGAGUAUUCCUCCAUGCCUGUUUACCAAAUAGUACCUCUGAACGCAGCACACAAUGCUCAAGUGGUAGUAUAUGUAUGUAGACUUAGACAGCAGAACAAGCAUUGAAGUACUCUCUCCGUCCCAAAAUAUGUGUCGUGGCUGCUUUAGUUCAAAAAAUUUCAGUUCCAACUUCCAUAAGCGCCUAAUCGGAUCUCACCAGCAGUGUAGGUAGCUGUUACGCUGAAUAUCUCCCUCCCUACUUGUGCCCGUUGCGUUGGAACCUCAAGAGUGAGCAGGAGCAGGUGUUUGCGACAGACAGUUGCAGGUUGAUUCAAACUGAGACACGAAACAAACACAAUUCCUGGUUUCAUUUUCAACCCCCCAACACCAAUACAUUCAUUCAUCGUUCCUUAGAAGAUGCCCCGGUACGAUGUCGCACCAUCAAUCAAGGAAAGAUUGCCAGGAGAUGGAGAUAUCCCAGUACAAGACAUUGGUGUUGGUCGCGUCAAGCUGGGCAGCAGAAUCCUCCUCUAGUUUGUUUGUUUGGUCGUUUGUGUGUUUGUCUGUUUACCAGCCCGCUAAAUAAAGACAAAGUACUAGAUCUAUUGAUAGAUAGGAUUACAAUAACCAGUGCGAUCUAGUCUAUAUCAUUAGUUAAGCUACUCUUAAUUUCAUCUCCAUUCCAUGCACCAACUCGGCUUCUUGGUCAGCAACCACACNNNNNNNNNNNNNNNNNNNNNNNNNNNNNNNNNNNNNNNNNNNNNNNNNNNNNNNNNNNNNNNNNNNNNNNNNNNNNNNNNNNNNNNNNNNNNNNNNNNNCUCGUAAAUUUUCUACCGUAUCCCUGUGCAGACAUGGAUGCGGGAGACUGCCACCCAACCCACGAGCGGAAGCAGGUAGACACCAAGCCCCGAUCCACCUUAAAAAAAUGCAUGGAUUUGGGCCUCAUAUUCUUAAUAAUUUCUACAAUCAAGAAUGAAGAUGGGCUUCAGGACCCGGGGUUUGGGUCCUGUUUUCGCCCCUGAUCUAACCCGACAUGUAUAUGUCUACAAGUAAAUUUAAAUUUAAAUGUACUCCGAUCCACGCAACGCACCGGAUCACACUAGUACCGGAUUGCAUGCCUGAUCACAACCAAAAGAACAUGCCAGAAUUCAAAAAACAUCAGUCCGACAGUCUGUGCAUUUCUGCCCUAUCGGAUCGGUAAUCCCAACUGUCUGCUCCCCGAUUAAGGAGGUGCCUACGCAACCAUCUAGGUAGCCUCCGUCGCGUCCUCAUAGUCCGCCGCUGCCAACUCAACUUUCUGCCGUUGCAACGUCUGGUAGCAGAUGGAUUGCACACACAUUUUUUGCGUCGGCAUCCAAAGAGUCGACAUUGAAGGUCAACAUCUUGGUGUCCUCCGCAUUGGCGGCGAUUUUUUACUCUCUUUUUCCUCGAACACAACCUUCUUCUCUUGAUCAUGGUCCUCCUCUCUUUAAGGUUGAGCUUCUUGUUCGUCGCCUCCAUCAAAAAAUUUAUGCUCUCCGCCUUCUCCUCCUCCUCGAUGUCCGAGUGCCUCACGCAUGCCUCCUCCUUCACCAAGAUGUCCUCGAACCUCUACAUCAGCCUGGCCGCCACACCUUCUCGCUUCGCCCUCUCCACGCGCAACAAUAGUUGCAUAUCUACCGAUCGUGCACAACUGGUUGUCCACCAACUGUGUGCAACUCUUGCAUGCCUGCACACCGAUGCACAAUCACAAUUGUAUAUCCACUGAGAACGCAUUUGGUUGCCUCGACUGAAUAGUAUCUGCAUUUCAUGCACAUCUCAAGCCAGUCUGGUUUAACAAAAGCAGGCAAUAAACCAACAUCUGCAUGUUGUUUGGUUGCCUGCAUUGCGUCAAAGGCCACUUUAGACUGGCUGUUUGGUUGCUCGCAUUUGUGCUUAAAGGGUGAGCGGAUGCAAACCACACCUGUUUGGUUGCAUACACGUUUGUGUUCUGCUCACCACACUCAAAUGUGAUGGUCUUCCCACCACAUUAUGCAUAAAAACAGGUAUAACACUAAAGUAGGAGGUAAACAACAGCUAAUAGCAGAUAAACAAGCAACUAAAUAGUCAUACUGCUAAACAAGAUUAGGUUUAAAGAUAGUAGGNAGGUAUAACACUAAAGUAGGAGGUAAACAGCAGCUAAUAGCAGAUAAACAAGCAACUAAAUAGUCAUACUGCUAAACAAGAUUAGGUUUAAAGAUAGUAGGAGCAUCCCAUGCCCCCUGCGUGAACACGAGGUGCCGAACCCUAGAAAAAAUAUGAACAAGUUCCCAGCAAGUUCUCCCAUCACCGCAAACUAACUACAAGUUCAUCCUAACAUGUUCAGAGGGCGAAAGAAAGGUCACCGAUGUAGAUGUGCCUGCUGUAACACACCUUGCACCCGAUGAAGCUGUCGUGGUUGUAUAUUUGAACCUUGAGUCCGAGGCCGAAAAUUCGCAGCAUGAUGAGGUCACUGGGGACGAUCCUAUGGUGAUGGCAGAAGUACUGCCGGCCCGGCCAAGCACCAUUUGACCGUCGAAGUUCUGGACCUAAACCCAGAACUCGCACCACUUGUUUGCCGAGAGCCUGCCCACACGCGGGAGCCUGACCGUUAGCCANNNNNNNNNNNNNNNNNNNNNNNNNNNNNNNNNNNNNNNNNNNNNNNNNNNNNNNNNNNNNNNNNNNNNNNNNNNNNNNNNNNNNNNNNNNNNNNNNNNNCAUGCAUGGAGGGCAUCGGAUCCAAGUCGUACACCUUCAAAUCCAUCUACCCGAAGCUCGUCCCACGCGCGGGAGGAGGCAACCUGAUGGCAGCGGUCGGACUCCUUCCGCUUGGAAUCCAUUACGCCUGCCUAAAUGUUGCAUGGAACCGGCGUGAGGUGUGUCGUCGCUGCCUCACAGGGGGUGAUACAGUCCGUGUGGUAUCCCAACAUGCUGGCAGAUGCACAAUCGCUACGUUGGCACACCGGGGUGGGUGUGAACGCAUGGGUGUCAUCCAACACAAGUAUGCCAUGGCGUGCCUGACGUGCGAAGCAGCGGGCACGGGAGACGGUGGAAGACGUCGUGGUGGACGUAGGGUCGCACUCUACGGCGCAGUGUAUGGUGCAUGGUCACCCCGGGCGCCACAACCAUGUCGUGGUGGACAUCGACGGCUCCUCCCAUAAGGGAUCCUUCAUCAAUAUCACAUAACCAACGACGUGCACACGACAGCGUCCGACGAGGAAGAGUAGGGCAUGGGAUGUGUGUGUGUUACACAGAACAUUGAAUUUGAGCCCUUUGAUUAGACAGCAGAUCGCUGACGCAAUAGGGUGCUGGUUUUCCUGGUUACAUUCAGUUUGGUAGUUUUAGAAGAAUUGAGUCUCUCGCAUUUAUAAGUAGUAGAGAUUAGUAGUAGCGACAGAGAAUAGAGAUACCAGUGAGGAAUGUAGUAAUUAACCUAGUUGUAGUCUAAACGUACACGUAUGUCCUAAUUUGGUUAGUAUUGCAAACCGAGUAGGAUUAGUAGUAGUAUUGCAAACCGAGUCGGUUUGCAGUAGGCCUAGCUUAGCAAUAUAUAUACGUAUAUCCCUGUGUAGUCUUUGUACCAAGAAGAUCAAUACAAAGCAAUAGCAGGGCCGAUACGGUCCUGUAGCCAUCCAACUCGGCGUCUCGCGUGUGUGGGUCUCUCGGCGAGUUGUGGCAUCGAUCGAGCAAUACGCUGGCAGGAUUGAUAAGCAUGUGCAUGCGGUAGUGUACGUGGAAAUCCAUCAACCUAUGUGCUUGCUUGCUUGGUCUAGCUAGCUUCGGAGACGUACGACGUUCUGGUCAAAAGCAUCGGCUAGUUGCGUGUGUGGAAGUCAGCUUCGGUCAGUGACAUCCGUCUCGUCAGAAGGUACUCGACGAGUCGGAGGGAUCUAGGCCAACAAUUGGUAUCAGACGGCAAGAGAGGCGUGGAACGCACUCAAGGAGAUGAGGAUCGGAGAAGAUCGCGUCACCAAGGCUCGGGCACAAGUGCUGAAGCGCCAAUUUCACAAGUUGCAGAUGGAGGAAACUGAAUCGGUGAAUGACUACGCCAUGCGUCUUACUACUUUGGUGGGAGAGAUCCGCGCGCUUGGUGCAAAGCUCGAUGAGACCGAGAUCGUGGAGAAAUUUUUCAGUUCUGUCACUGAUAAAUUCACGUACAUCAUCGGCACGCUCGAGCAGCUUUACGACAUCGACGACAUGACCAUAACGAAGGCGAUCGGACGAUUGCGGACAUGGGAAGAGAAUGCUCGUGGCUGUCGGAAAGGCAAAGGAGGAGGUAGUGACCAACUCAUGUACUCGCGCACAGACUGGGAGGCCCCAAGUAGCAAAGGAAGGCGUGACGGUGGCGAAGGCUCAAGCAACACGAAGGGCGAUGGACAAACCGGAAAAGGCAAAGGAAAAGGCAAACCACAAGGUCGUGGUAAGGCGGGCCAAUCUAAAGAGCAGAAACCACGGAACUUGGACUUGUCCGAGGUCAAGUGCUAUAACUGCAAUAAGAUGGGUCACUUUGCGAAGGAUUGUCCAAAGCCUAACAAGCGGGAGAUCAAGGCAAAUUUGGCAAAGCAUGAAGACGAAGGUCCAGGUCUUCUGAUGGCCGAAGUUUGUGAUCUUGCUGAAAUGGUGGUUGUAAAACCAAGCCGGAAGGUGCUACUUCAUGAGGAAAAAGUGACACCAAAGUUAUCCGGUGAUCAGAACGUGUCGUGGUAUCUCGACACGGGUGCCAGUAACCACAUGACGGGGUGCAAGGAGAAAUUCCUCGAGCUGGAAUACGAUGUUGAAGGCUCGGUCAAGUUCGGUGAUGGUUCAGCUGUGGAGAUUUGAAGGCAAGGAUUUGUCCUCUUUGAGGGUCCCACAGGCGAACAUCGCAUACUCACCGGAGUGUACUACAUCCCACGGCUGCGCAACAACAUCAUCUCUAUUGGGAAGCUUGACGAGAAUGGAUGCAAGGUGAAUAUAGAGAGCGGAGUGAUGACGAUCUUCGACAACCUACGAAACGUGCUAGCUCGUGUUAAUCGCACACGGAAUAGGCUCUAUAUCCUCAACCUUGAUCAAUCUCAACCGGAGUGUUGGCUUGCCAAGAGUGAUGAUGAUUCGUGGUUAUGGCAUGCUAGAUUUGGACACGUUAACUUCUACGCCUUGAAGAAGAUGUCAAAGAUGCAGAUGGUAUCCGGGAUGCCAGUUAUCGACCAUGUUGAUCGAGUAUGUGACGGGUGCUUGGUUGGAAAACAGCACCGCAGGCCACUCCCUGCUCAGUCUACCUAUCGUGCAAGUGAUGCACUCGAGCUGCUCCAUGGUGAUCUAUGUGGCCCUAUCACCCCGGCAACUCACGCUGGAAAGAAGUAUUUCUUUCUUGUGGUAGACGACUACUCGAGAUAUAUGUGGGUCAUUCUCCUACGAUCUAAAGAUGAGGCGUUUGAAGCGUUCAAGAAAUUGAAGGCUGCAACAGAGAUGGAACACAAGCUGAAGGUUCGCGCUCUACGGACAGAUCGCGGCGGAGAGUUUACGUCGAAUGAGUUCAACGACUACUGCGAGAAGAUUGGCAUAAAGAGGUUCCUCACGGCACCUUACACGCCGCAGCAGAAUGGGGUCGUUGAAAGGCGCAAUCGAACCGUCGUUGACAUGGCAAGGAGUUUACUCAAGAGCAAGAACCUGCCAGGGACCUUUUGGGGAGAAGCUGUCUCGACGGCGGUCUAUCUUCUCAACCGGGCUCCAACGAAGGCGGUGAUCGGCAAGACUCCGUAUGAAGCAAUUUACGGACGUAAGCCGAAUGUGUCUCAUCUACGGACAUUCGGGUGCGCGGCACAUGUGAAGACGGCGGAGCCGCACCUCUCAAAGCUUGCCGAUCGUAGCACCAAGAUGGUGUUCAUCGGAUACGAGAGCAGUUCUGGCACCAAGGCAUACCGUUUCUACGAUCCACAAACCAAGCGUCUACGGAUUUCACGCGACGUCGUGUUUGAAGAAAACCAAGCGUGGAAUUGGAGCGCCGCAGCCGACGAUGCUCCAAACACUAACAUAUUUGCAGUUGAAUUUCCAACUGAUGAUGAUGCAGGGGAGGAUGUCCAGGUGAUUGGCAAGACACCCAACCAAGGUGACCACAAUGGUAGUGAUCAUCAUGGUGCCGACACCGACGACGACGCGCAUAGGUCGCAAGGAGAUAGCGACAACGCCGCGCACGACACAGGCGGAGAUCUCGACGACAACAUCGACAACGAGGCGCAUAGUGACGAUGACAAUCAAGAUGAUGGUCACGGUCACGACGACUACGCCGACGACACGGAUGUCGAUGACACACCAAGGUCUCAGCCGUCUUCCUCAAGUGCAUCAACACCGACACAAUUUGUGUCGCCUCCUUCGCAAGCCACAACGGACUCCUCAGGGCCUCGUCGCUACAAGACCCUCAAGAAAGUCUACAAGUACACAAAGCCAGUUACGCUCGAGUACUCCGGACUAUGUCUGUUCGGAGUUGAGGAGCCGGCGAACUUCGUAGAGGCGAGAAAAAGUCCUAGCUGGACGCACGCCAUGGAUGAGGAGAUGAAGGCAAUUGAGAGCAAUGGCACGUGGACUUUGGUAACCCGACCUCCAAACCAAAAGACGAUAGGUUUGAAGUGGGUUUACAAGUUAAAGAAGGACACGGAGGGUGCCAUUGUGAAGUACAAGGCAAGACUCGUUGCAAAGGGCUACGUUCAACGUCAAGGAGUUGACUAUGAUGAGGUGUUUGCACCGGUUGCUCGAAUCGAGACGGUGAGAGUGCUCCUAGCUUUGGCAGCACAAGAGGAUUGGAAGGUUCAUCAUAUGGAUGUUAAAUCCGCUUUCCUCAACGGCGAUCUCACAGAAGAAGUGUACGUGGAACAACCCCUCGGCUACGAGAAGAAAGGCGAAGAAGGGAAAGUUUACAAGCUCAAGAAGGCACUUUACGGGUUGAAGCAAGCGCCAAGAGCUUGGAACUCAAAGUUAGACCGAAGUCUGGUCUCGCUCGGGUUCAAGAGAUGUCUCCUCGAGCACGCAGUCUAUACAAAGAACUCCAAAGGCUCAAACCUGCUAGUUGGAGUUUAUGUCGACGAUCUGAUUAUCACCGGAGAUAGCGUACAAGAAAUUGAACGUUUCAAGGCGCAAAUGAAGAACAAGUUUGGCAUGAGUGAUCUGGGAUUACUCAGCUAUUACUUGGGCAUCGAAGUGAAGCAAAACUCCGGAGAGAUUUUCCUAUGUCAAUCGGCUUACGCGGUCAAGUUAUUGGACAAGUGUGGCAUGUCAGAUUGCUACGCGACACAAGUUCCAAUGGACCAACGUCACAAGUUGAGCAAGCGUAGCUCAAAUCCGCCGGUGGACACCACAAUGUAUCGAAGCGUUGUGGGUAGCCUAAGAUACUUGGUGCAUACCCGACCUGACUUGGCUUAUUCAGUCGGGAUCGUGAGUCGUUUCAUGGAGAAACCGACAACUGAACACAUGAGCGCGGUCAAUCAAAUUCUACGCUACGUGAAAGGCACAAUUAAUCUUGGCUGCACGUACAGCAAGGGAAAGGAAGGAUUGAUCCUUCGUGGAUAUUCAGAUAGUGACAUGGCAGGUGAUGUUGAUGACCGAAAGAGCACAACGGGCAUGGUUUUCUACCUUGGCCCGAAUCCGAUUAGCUGGAAUUCUCAGAAGCAAAAGGUGGUGGCACUGUCUUCAUGCGAGGCAGAAUACAUAGCGGCAAGCACGGCGGCUUGUCAAGCAGUUUGGCUGAGAAGACUCCUAGCUAUUCUUGCAAAGCGGGAGGUGCAGAAGGUGUCAUUAAAGAUUGACAACCAAGCUGCAAUCUCAUUGUGAAAAAAUCCGGUUCAUCACGAAAGGAGCAAGCACAUAGAUACCCGGUUCCAUCAUAUCCGGGAGUGCGUUGAGGAAGGGAUGAUAGAAGUUCUGCACGUGAAUACGAAGGACCAGCUUGCCGAUAUUUUCACCAAGUCCCUCGGUCGACAGAAGUUCAUCGAGAUGAGGAAGAAAGUCGGAGUGCAAGCAAUGAAGACAUAUCAACAAGGUUAAGGAGGUGAAAAUUAUUCUUCGAUCCCUUCGAGUGUGGGAGGCCAUCACGGACGACGACGUCGACGAGGAGCGCGACGAAGGUGCCAUGGCCGCCAUAGCCCAGUCUGUGCCGGACUCCGUGCUGAUGACAUUGGCGGGGUUCGAGACGGCAAGAGAGGCGUGGAACGCACUCAAGGAGAUGAGGAUCGGAGAAGAUCGCGUCACCAAGGCUCGGACACAAGUGCUGAAGCGCCAAUUUCACAAGUUGCUGAUGAAGAGAAAAACAGAUCAGAGAGAUCAAUACGAAGAUAUUCAACAGGUGCGACACGCACCUCUGGCCACCAAAACUCGGCGAGUUUGUUUCUCCUGUGGCGUGUACAACAUAGCUAGCCGGCGGCUCGAUUCCAUCAAGCGGCUACUCGUAUACGUGCAUGUGUUUGCCUCACAGGAAGGAAAUCCAUCCAGCUGCUUUACGUACUACUUGUGUACACGAGUCUCCCGACCGGCCGGAAAGUAAUCGGUUGCGGUAGCUUGUACGUGCAUCGUCGGAAAGUACUCGACGGUUGCAUCGUCAAGGUCGAGUCUGGGCCAACAAGGAAGGAGGCAUGAUCUAUAUUUUGUAGGAGAUAAGGCACAUGCUCAAGUUAUCAUCACGGGCUCAGGUACUGUAGUUUGGUGAAUAUAAUCACUACAAGAUAUGGCUUCUCGCUUAUAUAUAAAGCAGGAGGAGAGGGGGCAAUGGAGUGAAGCGUGCUAUUGAAUAUCACAGAAUUCAACUUGGUUGAAAUGAAGUAAGCCUAUAAAAUAUUCAGUGGAUCACCUCUAUGCAAGAUAUUAGAGAUAAUUCAAUCUUUGCACAUGUUCGAGAAACCUUGCGACCGAUAUGUCACACAAGUAGGAUUGGGAGGUAUAGGGAAAUAUAGCAAAAUGAGAGCAUAUGUAAACUUCUCCUGUUGGUAAACGCAUCGACGAUUACUUCCACUUUUUAGUAGGAGGGAAGUUAAUGUAUGAUGCCUAAGAGUUUUGAGAAUACACUAUUUUUGUAACAUGCCUAAUGCACCGGUACGGAAGGAGUACCAUUUUUCCUGCUAGACUAUGACCAAAUUGCAACCUGUUUCGUGAGGAACAUAAAUUCAAGGGAAACUUAGACAACCCGUGUUGAAUAAUAUGUCACAUUAUACCAUGUUGUUUUUUUAUCAGCCGUAAUAUUCCGGUCCAUAGUAGCGAGCAGUUAGUUGAUUCUUUUUUACAAACUGGGCGUCACGUCCACGGUCCUCCUCAGCAAAUUUAUUUCCAAGAAGACGCUAUUCUUUGUUUCAAUAAUAAAUCUCUCAAAGGAGGGAUCACUAUCAGAUGUGCACUCCUAAAAUAAACAAGAAGGGGUCACUAUCAGAUGUACACCAAGCGUACUUCUUUGUUCGGCCAUAUCAUUUUUGUACAAUCUGGCUGGCCAAUCAAAUGUGUGUGUCAUUUUAUACUAUCUGGCCGGCCACCAUAAUCCACGGCAAUGCAACAGCCCAUAUUCACAAACAACUUCGUACAAGCACCGUAUCUCUCCGUCUCCCAUUUUAGCACUAUAUAUACCACCAAGUCCCAUCCAGCAAACCAGACCAAAGUAACCGAGACUUGCCAUCCUAGGUUGCAUCUGCCUCCGCAGUACUAUCAGUGUAGUCCGGUGCCUAACCGAAGAUGGCCAUCCACAAGGCUUCGCUUCUUGCCAUCCUCGGUUGCAUCUGCCUCUAUGGCACUGUCAUUGUAGCUCGUGAGCUGAACAAUGACAUGUUGAUGGUGACGAAGCAUGAGGACUGGAUGGCUCAGUACGGUCGCGUGUACAAGGACACCAUUGAGAAGGCUCGUCGGUUUGAGGUUUUCAAAGCCAACGUCGAAUUCAUUGAGACAUUCAAUUCCAAGAAUCACAAGUUCUGGCUCGGCGUCAACCAGUUCGCUGAUAUCAGCAAUGAUGAGUUCAGGACAACCAAAACAAACAAGGGGUUCAAAGCAAACCCCAUGCGAGUUCUUUCUACAGGAUUCAGGUAUGAGAACUUGAGUUUUGAUGCCCUUCCAACAACGAUGGACUGGAGGGCCAAGGGAGCCGUCACUCCUAUCAAGGAUCAAGGCCAGUGCGGUAAGUCAAAAAACAUUGUGAUGCAUUGCAUAUAUUUGGUAAUAUUUUCUGGGAUAACACUAUAACAACAUAAUUAUUUCUAGGCUGUUGUUGGGCAUUUUCUGCUGUUGCCGCGACUGAGGGCAUUGUAAAACUGAAAACCGGGAAGUUGAUCUCACUGUCGGAGCAAGAGUUAGUUGACUGUGAUGUUCAUGGUGAAGACCAAGGCUGCGAGGGAGGACUCAUGGAUGAUGCCUUCAAAUUCAUUGUCAAGAAUGGGGGCCUUACUACGGAGUCCAGCUACCCAUAUACAGCAGCUGACGAUAAGUGCAAGGCUGGAUCCAACAGUGCCGCCACCAUCACCGGCUUUGAAGAUGUGCCUGCCAAUAACGAGGGUGCCCUUAUGAAGGCGGUGGCAAACCAACCAGUAUCUGUAGCUGUGGACGGGGGUGACAUGACGUUCCAAUUCUACUCUGGUGGGGUCAUGACUGGGUCCUGUGGAACUGACUUGGACCAUGGAAUUGCAGCCAUUGGAUAUGGAAAGACUAGUGAUGGCACAAGCUAUUGGUUGAUGAAGAAUUCAUGGGGUGCAACUUGGGGCGAAGAUGGGUAUUUGAGAAUGGAGAAAGACAUUGCAGACAAGAAGGGCAUGUGUGGUCUUGCCAUGGAACCUUCUUACCCCACAAAAUAGGAAGAUUUUCAAAUGCCACAUAGUCAUGCAAAUGCACAGUUCUCAAAUAACUAAGGUUCCUAUAUCCUAUGUAUAGUUCAUAUGUGUUCGUAAAUUGGGUACGAUGAUGUAUCUUAUGUGCAUACAUUCUUAUACUUUGUAAAUUAAUAUCAUGUGUGCUAUAUUGUACGUGAGAAGUUGAUAAAGAAUUAUGUUGAUACAUAUUACAUGAAGCUUUGAAAUGUGUAAGUUAUUUGACUAUGUUAAGAGUAAACUCUAAAGGUAGUUUCAUAUAUAUGGUUUUUAUAUAGUGUCUUCGGUAUUUAUAGGAAUGUGCCAUUGGAUAACGGUUGAGUGUUACUAAACCUUAUAUGAGUGAACAAAGGAUGUAUUUCUCAACCAUGCUAUUUUUAGUGUAUUCACUCGCUAGCUUGCACAAAACUAAACAAAUCUUAACUCUCCGCGACCAUAUAUCAACAGAAUGAUGAGGUACAGUCAAUUGAGCUAUCACCAAAAGCCAGACUCUUAUAAAGGCGAUCUAUACAAGAAGCUUUAACUUCGUAUCCAAGUUCUUGAUGAGACUGUAUUGUAUAGUAAAGAGGAAGAAUACUCCUCUAUCAACACAUGUACUUUGUAUCGAACAAUCGGUCCUGGGUAACAAUGAAUGUGGAGAACAAGAAAGGAUUAGUGAAAGGGAAGAUGUGUAGAGAUGAUGGGUGGGGAGAAGUACAAGAGGAAUGUUUCUAUCUGGAUGCAGAAGGCAGAAGGCCAAAAGAGGCUAUAUCUGAAGGAGGGAGCGCAGACAAGAAUAUUACAGAUUUUGCAUCCAAGUACUUACCGAACCAAGACAAUUUUCAAUGAGAGAUCUUCCCAAGUUUCUUAGCCUACACUGAAUGUUUUCAGUCCCUUCAUGUAAAUCGAUAUGUAUAAUAAGAUUGAGCAGUAGCUGAAAACUACUUGUUGUAAAAUCAAGUUACAUUUGUUGUAAGAUCAAGCAGUAAGCUACUUCUUGGAGAUAGGAAGGAGCAAUAUGAUCAUCUGAUUCAGUCUAGUCCUGCUAGCAGAGCAUAAAUGCACAUAAAUAAGAGUGCACGUUGUAUAUGCAUGCAAAAUGCAAUGUGAAAUUUACACAUCACAUCAAAGGAUUCAUACAUAAAGUAAUGGGUCCUUAAGGCCAAAAAGUUACACAUCACAUCGGUCCACUUCUUCUUUGCCGAGUCAAGAAGCAAUGCAAUGUGAAACCAUAGAUAAAAAAAUCUAACCGAAUGAUAAAAGUAAUAAGAGUGCCAUAAGUAACAACAUAUUUAGAAGAACUACUAUAACCUAAUAAGAUUGACAAGCUCAAUGAGAUAUGCAGGCAGAAGGCCUGAAAUGAAAUGGUACCUCCUGGUGUAUUAAGCCAUAUUGAUCAAAGAUAUUUAGCCCUGCAGUGCAAAGGUAUAUAUUUGAUCAUAUUAAUGCAUGCCUAAAUAUAAUUGGAAUGCUUUGUUGAUAAUUGAUCUGCAUGACAAUCAGAAGAAGAACAACAUGAUGCACAAAAGGCGGUUGAAACAUGUUGCUGCUCCACUCAAAAGUUGCAAGGAGCAUAUAUUGUGGGAAACGGAAGAUACAGGUUACACGGCAAGAAAACUAUCAACAUCGGACCACGAAUUUCACGCAAAGUAUGAAAUAUGAUAGUAAUACCAUCAAAGUCAGGACACAGGUUAGCAGCAGAAGCAGAUACAAGACAUGCUUCAUAGGUCACAUCCAAAAAUAAUAAAAUCCACCCUUUAUCGAAAAAAGGUCACAUAUGAAAACUUCCAUUGCUCCACAUAUAUUAAGCAUUGUUGCGAAUAUGCACCUCUGAUAAAGGGUCCUCAAAGGAGUAAUCGGUACCUGUCUUGAAGCUCCAGGGCUUGCCUCCUUCAGGGCCUAUGCUCCCGAGAAGCACCAUUCCACGGGAACUACUGGCCAUCUUGUUAUAAGCUUCAUGCGCUUUAUGAGUCGCUUAAUCCAUCGAGAAUGACGUGGAGCUUGGGUUAGCCAUGUAGAGGGACGCAGUCCUCAGCACCCUCACGCUCCGAAAGAAGAACUUGAGGAGGGCAACCUCCCCGAGCUCCCCUCGGAAUUCUUUGUAAGACAACACCUUGAUGCACGACUUGACGUUUUCAGGGCUUGACCAGUUUCCAAAAGUUGAGAUUCAGCCUCGCACUGCCAGCUUCAUAAUAACAUUUUUCAGACUGCAUGAAAAUUAUCAAUUAAAUCACUCCGAGGCGGGCGAGGACGUUGCCCAGGAGGUCACGCGGGAAGCGACUAAGGCGGUCGGCACCACGGGAGGCGGCGAGGGCGGUGAACCAUGUGUCGUCGUAGAGGGGGCAGUUGGGAAGGUUGUUGUAGAUGUACGCUAGCAUCACCUUCGUGCAUCACUCCCUCUCGUGCAGGUCGACUGUUGUCCCUAGUUCGGCGCUGUUGAACGGUGGCUGCAGCUGCUCAGCCAUGGCCGACGGCGGCGAUGGUGAGGGUUUAUGUAUUUGGGCGAGCCAUCGGGUGUGUGAGUGGCGUGGCCCUAUUUGGCUGGGCCAGCUUACCAACGAGAUUUGCUAACGGGCCCAUGAGAGAGAGAAGGACGAUCAGAUAUGAUCUGGCAGGUGCAACCGGCUAUGGUGAAUACAAGUCUCGAAUACAUGCAACUACCCAUGGUCACACUCAUGUUUCAUCAUCUAUGUAACCUAGCUAUGAUCCGAUCGCAUACAAGAGAAGGAUGAUCACGAUGAGCAAAAGAGGGAUUAUGUCAUGGUUCAUGAGGCGUCAGUUCUGAUUUCUCUGGCGUGCUAGUGUCCACCUCAAGUAACUAGCUUACACCUUGCUUCUGCUAUCAAACCCUUUCUGGCUGCCGUCCGGGAAGUGAUACACUUGGGCCUGACACUCUGGUCACUCCUCGUACACUCCCGAAACCCUCCCUAUGUACACGGCAUACCACCUCGCCAUCGAUGAUCUAUAUGCCUAUCAGAGACGCAUAUAUCAUCAAGUGAAUUCAAAGAUAAUAUGCCACAUAAUAUAUGAUAUCGGCCUGCGGACAGGAAGAGUUAGCAAAUAGAAGCAACAUAAACAUAGUUAACAAAAUUCAUCGUACCAAAACUAACUAUCUAGAGUGCGGUAGCGUUUACAUUUAAUAGUUACGUAGUACAGAUAAAUUCCAAUUUUGGAUGUAGAGAAAGGAACAACUAAAUAGACACGGUGUCAUUGUUAAUUUAAACAGUGCACUCGGCUCAUUCAUCCAUAUCCGGGAGGAUGCAUCCAAGCUUGUUGAAAGGCAUGUUGUCCUGAAGUAGUAGGGCUAUGCGGGUGUGGACGUCAUGUCAUCAUCAUCAUCUUCACUUAUCCAUCGAGUAUGGCCAUCCAUGAAACCAUGCAUGAGCAUUUGCGUCUUGAAUUUGCCAGCCUUAAAGGGGUCGAGCCAUACUCUAUCUUCGCAUCUACGACAUGGACAAAAAAUCUCCUUCCAUUUGUUUUCAUACAUGUCUUCCACCGCGGAUUGUCAGUAUCUUUCCACCUUCCUUCCAUUGACUUUCAUGAUUGCGUGCGCGAUACGCAUGCAUGCAACAAAAUCAUACAAAAAUUUGACAUGACCUUCCCUAAACAUAGGACAUGUCGAGUUUGCCCUAAAUUCUCCGAAACGGAAAUGAAUCCACAUUUCGGCAUAACAUAGGCAACUCAUGUCAUGCACACUUCAACAAAUACACAAUAUAGGCAACUCACACAUGCCACACACACAAUCACAUAGCUCCGUCCUAUCACACGCACACAAACACAUACGCAUAUUUCCAUUCUUGCACGUUAUCCCUUCUUUUUCCUCACCUAUGUCAAGAGAGAUCAAGCCCGGUACGAAGAUACAUGUUCAAUUCUCUUUCUUAAUUAGCUAGUAGAUCUAGAUAGUGAGGUAACUAGAUAUAUAGCUCUAACUAGGGAGAGAGAGAGAGAAAAGGCUAGCUAGUGGAUGGCUGAAAUAUUAAAGACAAGGGAGGUUAGGUCAUUAAUAUAUGAAGGUGUUGGUGAAGGUCAAAGAAAGAGAUGAGAGGGGGGAGGAAGAUCAUUAAUGGAGGUGAUGGAGGAGCAAAGAAGAGAGAGGGGGGAGGGGAGCAUGGAAGGAAGAAGAAGAGGAGGUGGGGAAGAAGAAAGGGAAAAGAAGAGAAUGUGGGGAGAAGGUGACAGAUAUUUUGUGGCUGACGAUCAUAGCAAUAGCGCUGCUUGAGAAACGCUCUACUACUAGAUACACUAGCAGUAGCGUCAUUUCCUACCAUGCGCUGCUAUUAACUAAGGCCCACCAGUGUAACCAUAGGAAAUUAGUAGUGGAGCCCUUUUCAAGAAACGCAUUACUGCUAGUGUAACUAGUAGUAGCACUUCUCGUAGACAAGCGCUGCUGAUAAGGAAGACCCACUAGCUUACCAGUAGAAAAAUAUAUGUAGCGCCCUUUCAAGGAAAUGCGCUACACAUACACUAGUAGUUGUAGCCCAUGUUUUUAUUGGAGCACUACUAACUUAUGUUGAUCCUCGUGCACCCUUUGGCCCACUUAGAAGUAGUGUGUUCAUGCCUACCAAGUGCUACUUCUAAUUAGUACUAGUAGGGCCUUUUUUUCUGCGCGCUAAUGGUACUUAGCAGUAGCGUUUAGUCCAUAACGAGCGCUAUUAGUAACAUUUUACCUAUAAGUUUUUCACUAGCAAUGCUUUCUUCGGAAGGAUAGCGGUUGGAUGCUGAAAGCGGCUUCUAAAUCGUGUGCAUGUGGUGUACGCUUUAGGUCUGCUGCAUCGCCGUUGGUUUUGAUACGUUAUAUGGAUGGAUCGACGACGGCAUCGGUUUUAGAUAUGGAAAGCGAGAGCAUCCCACAUUAUCAGGUUUGUAGGUGUGAGUGAUGGAUUGCAAUGUCUUGAUAUAUGUUCUUGUCAGAAUAAUUAGUAAAUGGUUUUCAUACUUUAUCAAUGGUAAUGGUUCUUGGCAAUACAAAAUCAUGAAUAGUUUUUCAGCGUCAAGAAUGUCAACGGCGUUAGACAUUUAUGUUUGUCCGUAGAGCCAUUUGAAGAAGAAAAACUAAGCACGUGGAAUGGUAAGUUUAUGUCUUAUGGUGGAAGGCUUGUUCUGAUCAACUCGGUGUUGACAAGCAUGCCAAUGUUUCUACUUUCUUUUUUUGAAAUGCAUGUAGGGGUACGAAAAAAGAAUAGAUUUCUAUCGAUUACAUUUUUUUCUGGCAAUGAGAUAAAAACAAUACAAAAUAUAGGCUUUCCAAAUGGGAUAUUAUUUGUAGACCGAAGGACCAGGGUGGCCUAGGGAUUGAAAACUUAGAAGUCGAGAAUAGAUGCCUGCUUAGCAAGUGGCUAUAUAGGUUGCGUAUUGUGACCGAAGGUAUGUGGGUAUAAAUUUUAUAGAAUAAGUACCUACGUUCGAAACCUCUAGCUUAGGUUGUUGUUAGACCUAAUGACUCUCCUUUCUAGAAGGAGGUAAUAAGGACGAGUGUUGCUUUUUUCCAAAGAACAAAAAUUAUCAUUGGGAAUGGUAACAUAAUUGGAUUCUGGGAGGAUACUUGAUUAGGGGAGACAUCACUGGCACACAAUAUCCUUUUCUAUAUAAUAUUGUGCAACACAAGGAAGCUUAUGUUGCCACACUAUUGCGCUCUGUCCCUCUCAAUAUCCAGUUCAGAAGGUCUCUAGUACGAGACCGAUGAGAGCUGAUUAUAUCUCGUGCGGAGGUUGAUGGAUGUUCACCUCUCUGAUGAGCAGACAUGAUUCACUCGUAACUAUCCGUCAACGGGAUAUUUUUCGUUGGUCUACAUAUCUAGACUUAAUAAACUCUGGUCCAAUUCCAAAAUCAAGUCUAUUUGGAAGACUAAAGUUCCUUUGAGAAUCAAGAUAUUGAUGUCGUUUGUUCACAAGGAAGCGAUUCUUACAAAGGAUAACUUUCUCAAGCGAAGAUGGGAGGGUAGUUAUAGUAUGGAAGCUUGUUAGUUGGUAGAGACUAAUAUCUUGCAUCAAUCAUUGUUGUGACCAUAGCCGUCGUCUUCAUUCUCAUGACGCUCACUCCUUCGAACGAGUGGUGCCCAGUGAAAGGAAAAGCGGGUAUUUGUGGAUUCCAUUCUUUGUUGUGAAGGAGCUCGAUCCUGGUAAGGUAUUGCUGGGGAAGUGUCUUGCCAACUCGAGUGGGACAAGGAAGCAGCUCGGAGCUCGCGAGGAUGUUAGUGACGGCUCCCUAGAUGGUACCAAUGACGACACCGGAGACAUGAAAGAGUCAUGGGACGUUGCAGAAGUGACGAAUUUUGCCCGACGGUGAUAGUGUGUGGUGUCUCUUGUGAAAGAAAGAGUCAUGGCACGUUGCAAAAGCCAUGUGCGAGCCGGCUGUACUAAUGUGUUUUCCAGUGACUCCCAAUUCUAUAGAACCCGGCACAACAAUGUAAUGGCCCGCAACUUCCUCUUAACAUUACAAAUAUUUUACUUGAUCUUAUAUAUCCAUACAAAUAAUUUAUACUAUAUGAACAUCAUUUAGGUGUCUCCACUUCUUUACUCAGCCAACGUCAAUAUAUAGAGUUCAGCUAUGUUGGUAUUCGAAAGCACUCUCAUCCCCAACCUACACUAGAGGCUCACCAACCAAAUCUAGUUAGUUGACUGCAUAAAGAACCAUGUCCAAAAGUGGGCCACAGGUUAUCAAACAAAUUAAGUUUGUGCACUUACGCAGCUAUUAUAAAACAUAAUUUGCAUUCCAUGUAUAUUUAUCUAGUAUUGAUGUCACGUACCAUGGGUAUUUUUGGAUAUAUUUGGAAGAUAUAUUCAACCAAAUACUCACCUAAAUAUGCCAACAAGUUGGAUGGACAACUUAUUCAUUUUGGUAGGAGUAUUCAUAAAUUGUCUUGAAGAUACGGGGUUAAGUAGUAUUGUUUCUGUAAAGAAAUAUAAGAGUGUCUAGAUUACUACUUUAGUGAUCUAAACGCUUAUAUUUCUUUAUGAAGGGAGUAGAUCUAGUGAUGCUCAUGAUUCUUNNNNNNNNNNNNNNNNNNNNNNNNNNNNNNNNNNNNNNNNNNNNNNNNNNNNNNNNNNNNNNNNNNNNNNNNNNNNNNNNNNNNNNNNNNNNNNNNNNNNUCUCCUCCCGCUGGCGCGCGCUCUGGCGCUCCACGCCCCUCGUCCUCGCCGACAUCCACCUCCUCCCCAAAGCCCAGGCCUUGCGCCCCAAGCCGUCCAACUCGCCGGCCGUCACCGCCGCCGUCUCCCGCAUCCUCGAGGCGCACCCGGGGCCCUUCGCCUGCGUCCACCUCAUCUGCAGCCAGAUGGACGGGUACCGCGCCCGCCUCGCGCGCUGGCUCCAGCUCCUCGCCGCCAAGGGCGCCCAGGACCUCGUCCUCGUCAACCGCCCGUGGCCACUCGACGUGCCCCUCCCGGCCACGCUCUUCACCAUCACCACCCUCACCCGCCUCCACGUCGGCGUCUGGAAGCUGCCGGGCACGGCCGCACUGCGUGGCGCCUCCUUUCCCCGCCUCCGCGAGCUCGGCCUCUACUUCGUCGAAAUGGAGCAGGGACUCGUCGACUCCCUCGUCGCCAGGAGCCCCGUCCUGGAGAUCCUCAACAUUGUGGGAUGCAUCAAUGGCGGGUUGCGUCUACGUCUCGUCAGCCAGAGCCUCCGGUGCGUGCAAAUCUGCGGCUCUGUUCUGGAGGACAUCGCCGUGGUGAAGGCUCCGCGCCUCGAGAGGCUCAUCCUGAUUGAAUCUUGCAAAAUCGCCCGUGGCUUGUGCACCAGGCUCAGGAUUGUCGAUGCUCCCAAGCUGCACAUUUUUGGAUACUUAGAGCCAGGACAGGUCCUUGAGGUCGGAGAAACAGUCAUCAUGGUACAUCUCCAGUCUCUCCAUUGGUUCAGUUACCAAAUAUUAUCAACUGACGACUCACUCAAUUGUGUGAUGUUCCUUCUUGAAUUCGUCAAAUUUCAGCCUGGGAUAAAGGCGAGCGCAAGUGCCAUGCUCACAAGCGUGAAGAUUCUGACUUUGAAUGUGCGUUUCGGGGUUCGCAAUGACGUGAAGAUGGUGCCCACCUUCCUCAAAUGUUUUCCCAAUGCUGAGAGACUGCAUAUUGUGGUAUGCGUUACGAGUCCCUGUUCUGCUUAUACUUGUAUGAUUUUUCGCUCCUUGUUGCUGGUUGUGUUAGGCUGAUAAGCUCUUUAUAUGUGGUCGCGGAGAGACUGCAGUUUAUGAUUGAUUGCAUAUUUCAAGUCAGUCGUUGUGAUAGCUAGCUCUUUAGUUUACAUGGUCUUCUUGGUAUUGUCCACUGUAAUGUACUCCCUCCGUUCCUAAAUAUAAGUCUUUUAAGUGAUUUCACUAGAUGUCUACAUACGGAGCAAAAUGAUUGAAUGUACACUCUAAAGUAUGUCUAUAUACAUCCGUAUGUAGUCCACUAGUGAAAUCUCUACAAAGACUUAUAUUUAGGACUUAGGAGCGGAGUGAGUAUGACGCAUAACAUAUUUGACCAGUUAUAGGUUAACUUUCAUGCCUUGCCAUUUAUUCUCAGCCACCGUCUAGUCUUUUCGACAAUCUAGAUAUAUAUACUGAUACCUUGAUUUAUAGUGCUUUACUUCUUUACGUAUGUUCAUAUUUUCUUGUUCUAGUGUUUCUCACAGUCUUCUUACAAGUUACUUGUAUCUGUGCUAUGGUACUGUAACAGAUGCCAUGCUUAUUAUAGACUUGUAUGUAAGUUUCACAUGGUAAACUAGCACAUUCAAGUAGACAGUUUCCCGAGUCUUUUCUGGUAUAGAUAUUACCACAAUCGCUAUAUUGAUGCUAGUACGCUAGUUUUAUCAUAUCAGGAUCUUAGGAAUUUAUCUCCGAUUAAUUUAUUAUAGAAAGAGGCUAGUGUGACUCACAUCUGGAAAUUCUUAUCAAAGUCUGAUAAACUGCUGUUAAGACUAAAGUUUGCAGCCUCACGUAGAUCUUAAUUUGCUGUCCAUGAAUUAUGCUCAGAUCUUACCAUUCUUUCUUUUCUCUCUCUCCGCACUACUAGGCUAUUUAUGCUCCAGAAGCCAAAGCUCAAGCCCAAACAAACAUGGCCUUAGUAAUUAUUACAUUCGGGUACUUUCAUCCGUUGAAGUAUAGAGUUGUUGUCGAGGUUCCUAGUUGUGACAUCUCCCACAAUUGGAUCUAGCAUUUAGUUAUGGACCGGUAUAAUUUGCAGUAUUUUGUACUGAGCAGUUAGCUCUGUAUACGGUGUACAUUCUGAGUCUUAGCUGCAAAAAUUCUCUAUGCGCUCUCAAAAAAGGACUUUCAUAAUAGUAUAAUAAUGCAAUUGCCUUGUCAAACCUUUUCUUUCCAGACAGCGAAUGUAAACAGUGUACGGACGAAUUUAUUUCAGCUUAUACUUUUCUUGCUCUGCUUACAAUAUUGAUAAUUUCCUCUACGCGUGACUUGAAAGUUUUUCCCAUCUUGCAGCAGAUUUUGUUGCUUAUGGUGUUCAAUUGCCUUGCCAAGCAUUGCUAUUUGUUCUCAGCCAUCAGGUCGUCUGUAUGCACGCAGACUAGAGUACACAUUUAGAAAUUAGAACUAUGGCCUUGCUUGUUCAUCUCUUUAUUGUAAAGACAUUUAUUACCGAAGUUUUGCUGUGCCACACUUCAUCGUGUCAUUAUUUUGGUUGUGAAACCACUAUACAUACGACAAUAUGGGGUCUGAUCUUUGUACAUCGCUCAAUCCGGCCUCAUUGCUGCAUUCUCUGCCACACAUAACUUUUUGAACAGUGUCGUAUCAAAAUCGGAUGCAAAUCAUCGUACGCGGCACAGUGAUUUCUAUUGCUUUGCUUGAUUUUCUGGCAUGUCCAGAUUUUCUUUUUCAGUUUUUCUCAUGUUCCUCAUACUAGCUAGCUAGAAGUAUUUGUGCUGUGGAAUGUGGAUGAUGCGAAUGGCACGCAAUGCUUAUUAUAGCAAACUGAUUAAACUAGCAUCUGUUCUGCAUACAGUUUCCUGGAGACUGGAGGUUUGUGCUGUAAUGCCACUCGGUAAUUGCAAAAUGUGUUUGGCACUUGUCUUCGAUUAAGUAAUCAAUUCUGAACUGGUUGUCAUGGCUCACAUCUGGCAAACAGUUUAAGACCUCCACGGUAGAAUGGAAUUUGCUGGCUUAUUUUAAAAUUUGUUGUACGUGAGAGGCUGUAUAUAUGCUGACAACACCAGCAGAGUUUUUUUCCUGUUCCAGUAUGCUACUUGCUGCUUUGUGCUGGUUUAAUGCAUGGAAGUAUUAUUGAUCUGUCAUUUCUGCAAGAACAUAACUAAUUUUAUUCGUCAUGUCAGUCUUCCUCAGAUGCUUUUCCAACUGUUGAUCGAUUUAUCUAUUUGUUUGCAGAGUGAUAAAUGUGAUAAAUCAACUGGUGAACACCUCACCGUCAAGUUCUGGGAGGAGUCUGGUCCCAUUGAGAACGUCGUCUCGCGCGUCAACGUGAUGACUUUCCGUGAGUUCAAAGGGGACCGUGGCGAGGUUGGCUUCCUGGAGUACGUCUUUCGGAGUGCGCGGGUGAUGGAGAUGGUAGCUAUUUUCAUGGCCAAUCCAAGCUCCACGCCGUUCUCGGAGGACGAGGCGUUUGUCAAGGCGCAAUACAGCGCUAGAAACAUUGCAUGUAAAUCCUGCAAAAAGUGCAUCAUCUGGAGUAGCCAUCCUGCAGUGGCUUGGAGCCUCAAAAUCGGGGCAGAUUUCUCCUUCGAGGACCCGUUUACGGUGAGGGAGGAGGACAGCUGAGCUUAUAGUUUCUGUGGAGAAGUGGAUCAGUUUUUUUAUGCAAACUGUGAAGUGCGGCGGUAUCUGUUGCUCGCUGUGCUACCCUUGCGACGGUCUGUCAAAUUUGAGGCUUGGUGCCUGGUAAGCAGCAGACUAAUCAGCUGAUAUUCGUGACUUGCCAUGUAAUGUAACCCGUGUCGAUCAGUUUCGUAUGCUCCUUGAAAUGUUCCAUUGCUUGGAGUUGCUGAUUGUGAUUUGGUGAUGAUAUAUUUAUAUAUUGCUCAUGUUUAUCAUGUGAUCAACUACAAAGCUUAACAUCUUUUUUCCUGCAUGUUUAUUUGUGUUGAGACAUAAUGCACAACUUGUGAAAAACAGUUUGCAAUAAGAGUAAUACCAUAGUUGUUGCAGUUUGAUUUGUCACGUCGUAUCUGAAUUUUUUGGCGAUUACUGCGGGCCAAGUUCUGCGAAUACUGCUGGUAAGAACGAGCCGUCAGGUUCAUAGUUUCGUACUGUUAUUUUGGAGUGUCUGUUCAAACAUGAGUAAAUGAAGUGUUUGCUAUGGCGGCGGAUUCUCUUAACACUUAAAGUUCUCUUAUCCUUUUUUUACUUUUUAUUUGUGCAAAUCUUCCUUUUUUUGGUUAUUGCUGAAUUAUUUACUAAAAGUUUUUUUUUUUUACUUUGUUUCUAGAGUUUAUUUGAAUCUUGUUUCCUCAAAAUACCAUAUUGAGAAUAAGUAAAGUAAUGACUCCGAGCCUGAUGUCUUCUAACCUAUAGAUUUGGUCCAUGGUCAAGUAAAACACAAAUAAUUGAAAGUUAAGAGAAACAAGACUUGGCUCAAGUAGUGCUAACUAUUUUCAGAUCAUAGAAAUAAGAGAAAAAAUGACGAACAUAAAUGAGGAAAAAAAAUACAAAACAUGAAAGUUAAAACAAAAAACACAUUGACAUCGCCCGACUUAGAUCAUCUCCAGCCGCGCCCCCAACAGGCCCCUUCGGGCGUGUUUCUUUCCGCCGGCGCUGAAAACCCCCUAGUCGCGUUUCGAGGACGCCGAUUUUCGCCGAUUGGGCCCAUUUUUAGGUCCGGCGUUCCCAGACCGAACCCAGUGUGCUGGGGCGCUUGCAGGAUCCGGCGGAAGGAAAAACGAUGUGUGGGCCCCACAGUCAGGCGGAAAACAUUUCCUCACCACCAGAUUACCCCCCAUCCACGCGCGCGCAACACACCUUUCGCCGCCGUGCCGAUCCCGGCGCCGCCCACCGUCCUACCACCGCUGGAAAGGCCAUCUCCACGCUGAGAAAGGAAGGGGUUCGCCGUGAUUUUGUCCCUGCUUCUGGGCGAGCUUCUCCGGCGCUUCGGCCACGCAAACGGCUGCGCGUCUGCCACGCCCAUCUGGUGUUUGGCAAUUUGUCUUGGUGAUGGACUCCGACGACGAGGAGGCGUUCGUGGCGCUGCUGGAGGAGGAAGCGAUGCUGACACCUAGGGCGAAGAGGACCUCACGAUCCUCGCCGCUCUGGUCGGCCUGUUCGCGAGCAAUGCAAAGCCGCGGCGAGGUGGCUCGGCGCCGGGCCGGUUGAAGGUAAAGCAGAGGCAUCGAUUGGAAGGCUAUUGCUUGCUCUACACUGACUACUUCGCCGAUGCUCCUCUGCACGGCGACAAAGUAUUUCAGCGCCAUUAUCGGAUGAGCCGGAAGCUCUUCCUCAGGAUUGUACUGAAGUUGAUCACCAGCUGUCAGCAACCUGGACUGCCUUACUUAACAUGCGUUAGGAGAUCCGAGACACACAAGUGUAUAAACAACUGCAGCACGAUUUGGUGGAGCAUCUAUGGAGGCUCUAGGACAAUGCCUAGCUCGAUGUGUGAUGAAUUAUGAGUUUUUAUUUGUUGAUUUUUUUAUUUAUAUUGAUUUGUUGAAUUAUUUUGAUUUGUAUUGAUCUCUAUGAUGAACUAUGUGAUAGAAAAUAAGCAUUUAUUGAAUUAUUGCCGAAGUACGUCGAAUAUGUACCGAAAUUGGUACAAAUUUAGGUUGAAAUUAGGCCAACUUACAUCGAAAAUGAGCCGAAAUCGGCGGCUGGGGGCGACCUUGGGGGGAGGGGGGCGAUUGGGAACCCGAGCCCCUCCACGUUGAUUUUUUCGCCAAAGCGCCCCAAACGGCUCUAUUUCAAGCCCCCUAUAGGGCCGAACGGCUGAAGAUGCUCUCAGACUUAGAGUGAUCACCUUAUUUUCAGAUCGUCUGCGAUCUAAGACCAGAGUUACAGUGUCAUCCCCGACCAUAACUUUAAUACAGGUUAGAAGACACAAUGCGGCUCUCAAAAUUCAUGUAUUUAACAAUGUUCGUAAAUUUAGAAAUUCUUCAUGGAUACGACAAUAUUCAAGUAUUCCAAAAAAUGUUCAUGAGUUUUAUAAUCAUCUAUGAUUUUUAUAAAAUGGCACAAAUUUUUAAAAUUAUUCACGUAACUAAAACAGAUUGUAAUUUCAUAAAUGUUCACAAAUAUUAAAAAGUAUUCACAUAUUUUUAAAAAUGUUCACAAUUUUGAAUAGAACAUUUAAGAUUUUUAAAAAAUUCUCAAGAAUUUAAAUUAUUUUCACUAUCUUCAAAAUUAUAAAUAAAUUUGAAAAACAUUCAAAAAAUAUAUAUAAGUGAACACGAAACUAAAACAUGGAAAGUAAAGAAAAAAGAAGAAAAACUAAAUGCAACCUUUCUCAGUUAAUUCUAUUUGAAAUCUAUGUAAAACGUGAAAUCUGAGUUAAUUCCAUUUGCACAAAAUAGAAAUAAUCAUAUAGCUUAAAAAAAUGAAAUACUCAAUGAAUCAAAUAAAAAAACCAAAGUAAAAACACUAAUAACGAGCGUAUAAAUAACAAAAACAUUAAGUAGUCGGAAGAGUACAAUAUGUGGAUUAGAGCAGAACCACUAAAACCAUUUAAUUUCCAAAAAUAGCCCAUUCAUCUCAAUAAAAAAAAUGAAAGUUUUGCAUUCCCUCAACCCCGCUCUCAAUACCAUUUUUAUUGUCGGGCCCACUUUCCUCUCCCAACCAUCACCUCUUCCUACAAUACUUCUGUGUCGUCUUCCAACAAAAAAACACCUUGCCCUAUUAGGGCCUCCAAAAAGCCGUGCCAUCUUUAUCUUGUUCACUCCUCAUCUUGCAAAAUUCGUCACUUCUGCAACGUUUCAUGGCUCUUUCCCUGUCCCCAAUGCCGUCAUUGGAACCAUCUAAAAAGCCGCUGUUACCAUCCUCGCGAGCUCCGAGCCGCCUCAUCGGCCUGCUCUAGCUAGCAAACCGCCUCCCGAGCCAUGCCGUUGCAGGAUCGAGCUCCUUCCCGACAAAGAAUGGAAUACACACAUCCCCACUUUUCUUCCGAUGACCACCACAAGUCCGAAGGAGCGAGGGUUGUGAGAACAAAGACGAUGACUAUGGUCGCAGCCAGUGGCGGAGCAUGAUCCAAAUAUAAGCAGGGGCCAAAAGAGCUAGAGAGAUUAAGGUGGUCGGAAGGUUAUUAGGGAGUUUAGGCUUCGGAGGAGUAUAUCCUUGCAAUUUUUUACUUGGAAGGGGGGCCACGACCCUCCUUGUCCCGCCAACGCUUCGCCGGUGGUCGCAACAAUGGUUGAUAGCAAGUUCAAAUCCCAGCUUUGACGUUUCCCUGUCGAUGACGAGUUACCUACGACGACUUCAUCAAUGUGGAUGCUCUCCAACUUCAAUCGUAUUUUAAAUAGACCUUGUAUGUUCUCUACGUUGUAAUUCGGCCCAAGUAAAAAAAGAAAGCCCUAUUUAAGGCCCACCAUCCGCUUCACUCCCUCAGUCACUCACACUCACAGAGCACGCCCCGCUUCACUCAUUGGCCACCCCCAAAUCCCCAAACCCUCGCCGGCGCAUCCGCCGCCGACCAUGGCCGGUCCCCGGCAUUCGCCGUUCACCAACGUCGACCCCUCGACGGAGGACGAUCUGCGGAGGAAGGGCUUGGACCCGCAGGAGGUGGACCGAUCCACGGAGCAGCUACUCACCUACAUCUGCACCGAGCUCGUCCCCGCCCUCCCCGCCUCCGACGGCGUCAUCCUCAACGACGCCCACCUCCGCCCCAAAGGCAGCGUCUUUCCCCCCACGCCCGCCGACUCUCCGGCCAUCGUCGCCGCCGUCUCCACCAUCCUCGAGGCGCACACGGGGCCCAUCCCCCACGUCCGUCUCACCAGCAGCCACACGGGCGCGUACCAGGCCCAGCUCGCGCGCUGGCUCCAGCUCCUCGCCACCAGGGGCGUCCAGGAGCUCGUCCUCGUCAACCGCCCGUGGCCGCUCGACGUGCCCCUCCCGGCCGCGCUCUUCGGCAUCGCCAGCCUCGCCUGCCUCUACAUCGGCCUCUGGAAGUUCCCGGACGUGGCCGGGUCGCCGCGCAGCGCCUCCUUCCCCCGUCUCCGGGAGCUCGGCCUCUGCAGCGUCGUCGUGGAGGACGGCGACAUCGACUUCGUCGUCGCCCAGAGCCCCGUCCUGGAGACACUGAACAUCCAUGGAUCCAGCAAGGGGCUGAGACUUGGCCUCGUCAGUCAGAGCCUCCGGUGCGUCCAAAUUUGCGGCUCUGCUCUUGAGGACAUUGCCGUGGUGGAGGCUCCUCGCCUCGAGCGGCUCAUCCUGGAGGGGUUCCGGAGCAACGCCGGCGGCUUGUGCACCAGGGUCACGAUCGGCGAUGCUCCCAAGCUGCAAGCAUUAGGAAUGCUGGAGCCAGGGAACACCAUCCUAGAGAUCGGAGACACCAUCGGCAUGGUCUGUACAUACAUCUCUGGCCUGCAUGCAGUCUAACAAUUUGUUCAGUUAGCAAAAUGUCCUGCUGAUGGAUGGACGAGCGUGAUGACUAAAUGUGUGACCUUUUUUUCUUUGUUCAAAUUCAAUUGGGUUCAUCAAGGCGAGCCCAGGCAGCAUGGCCACCAGCGUCAAGUUCCUGAGUCUGAAUGUGCGUUUCGGAAACCACAGCAAUGCCAAGAUGGUUCCCUCCUUCCUCGCCUGCUUUCCCAAUUUGGAGGCACUGCACAUCAUGGUGAUUCUUUUCUUUUCAUUUCAUGUUUUCCUUACAUUCAUACCGGCCGGUUUCCACUAUGUCUUCUUAUGUGUAGAAUCUUUGUAGCUUUUGUUCACUUCAGAUGGUGUGUUUUCAACUUCUGAAUUCUGAUUGAUUAUUUGCAGCAGAUAACGUACUAUGCACUUAUCCUGAUGUCGAUUGCUUUGCUUAUUUACUUGAUGCAAACCCAUACUUUCUUGUUUUCGCAUCUCACAUCGUGGUCAUAUAUCACACUCUACUACUCCCUCCGUUCCUAAAUAUAAGUCCUUUAAGAGAUUUCACUAAGUGUCUACAUACGGAGCAAAAUGAAUGAAUCUACACUCUAAAGUAUGUCUAUAUACAUCCAUAUGUAGUCCAUUAGUGAAACCUCUAAAAAGACUUAUAUUUAGGAACGGAGGGAGUAGUUAGCAGUAUUCUUGCUGUGGAUGUUGCAAGUUGAAUGCGGUGCUCGUUUCUGACUUACUGUAUUUAAUUUACACAUGAUGCAACCUACAGUUUUUUGGAGGUCUGUGUGGAAUUUUACCAUAAUACUCUAAAAUUGUCGGGCACUUCUCCAUGGAUUAAUAGUAAGUUGUUUGACAUGGCUCACUUCUGGAACUUUAUUUUAAAGAGUAAAUCUCACAAUAUAUGCACAUGUUUUUUGAGGGUAAUAUAUGCACACAUGGUUAGGACCUCCGUCAAUGUGGAAUAUGCAUUUGGUUUCUUCAGCGGCAGCCUUGAUUGCUUGGGACCAUGUUUUAGUUACGGUCGACAAUGGUAGCAAGCACAUGAAUAGUCCACUGCCAUCUCUGGCAAUACUGUGCAACUUGUCAUGGCAUCAUUCAGACUCUGAGAGAGGCUGCGUAGCGCAUACACCAUCUCAAUUUUUGACCUUUCUCUGGUCUUUGCAGUACUAGGCUACUUGGUAGUUGUUACUUUCUGCUAAUUUCACAUGUGAAAGUAUUGAUCACUGAUUUGGAUAGCUUUGUCGAGUCAAUUUUGUGAAAUGUGAUUUCUUUCUUUAUCUAGGGAGGCUAUCAUAAGUAAUUUGGCCAUGCAUAAGGUCAUGAUAACAUGAGUACAUGACUAGGCAUAAUUGGCAAAUAUGAUAUAUAACUUCUUUCAUCAAUUACAGCUUAAAUGUCAAGCAUUCUAUUUAUUAUCAGCCAUCAGGUUUUCUCUACUCACACUACACCAACUUUGGGAAAGCAAUCCCCACCUUCAGGGCCUGUAUUUCUGUUGUGAAUUUUACAAGUGACACCCAACACCUGUUAUGGCAUAUCAGGGCCUGUAUUAUUGCUGCAUUACAGUUAUCUGGAGGUCUGUAUAGCACGCCAUUAUGCCAUAUCGAAGCUUUGCUUCGAUGUUGCAUCAGAUCAGGCAGUUGUGUCUGAUUAACUAAUUACAAAGAAGGUGUAAUGACUUAUAUCUGAAAAUUCUUCUUGAAGAAUAUAUUUGGAAAGUCGUGCAUGUGUUAGGAGAGCUACACUGCAGCUCUAAUCUGUAGCCUCACUUCUCAAUUUGUUAUACAUGAACUGUAAUAACGAGGCAACCUUAGUUGCGGUUUUCUGUAGUAAUGGACUACUUGGUACUUUGUUUAUCCCUACACAUGGUAAUCUGUAGCCUCUACGGCAUAUCUACCACAUAUCAGUGAAAUCAAGCUACUGUGUGUUACGGCAUAUGGGGUAGCAUCUAGGUAUGCCUGGUAGUAUAAUGUACAUUAUGUGAUUCACGACAUAGGUUGGGGCUUCCUUUGAGCACAAUAUCUGUCACCUUCAUCAGAUGCUUUCCCAAUUAAUAUGAGGCACUGCAUGCUAUUAAUUUGCAUUAUAUACUCAGCAUGAGUUAUCAUAGCUGAACUGUUGAGUGAUCUAAUUGAUUUUUUUCAUGCAGUCUGAAAAAGGUGAUUAUGAAGCUGGCAGUGCCAGGCUGAAUCUCAACUUUUGGAAGCUGGUCAAGCCCACUGAAAACAUCAAGUCGUGCAUCAAGGUGUUCUCUUACAAAGAAUUCCGAGGGGAGCUCGGGGAGGUUGCCUUCCUCAAGUUCUUCUUCCGGAACGCGAGGGUGCUGAGCACUGCGUCCGUCUCCAUGGCUAACCCGAGCUUCACGUCAUUCUCGAUGGAUGAGGCGACUCAUAAAGCGCAAGAAGCUUCUAAGAAGAUGGCUAGUAGUUACUGCGAAGUGGUGCUUCUCGGGAGCACAGGCCCUGAAGGAGGCAAGCCCUGGAGCUUCAAGACAGGUACCGAUUACUCCUUUGAGGACCCUUUCUCAGUGGUGCAUAUUCGCCACAAUGCUUAAUAUCUGUGGAGCAAUGGAAGUUUUUCGGAUGUGACCUAUGAAAGCCUGCCUUGUAUCUGCUUCUUCUGCUAACCUGUGUCCUGACUUGUUGGUAUUACUAUCAUAUUUAAGACUUGCGUGAAAUUCGUGGUCCGAUGUUCGGUUGCAAAAUCAGAAAUACUAUGCAGUGAUGAUAGUUUGCUUGCCGUGUAACCUGUAUCAUCAGUUUCCUACAGUAUAUACUCCUUGCAACUUUUGAGUGCAGCAGCAACAUGUUUCAACCGCCUUUUGUGCAUCCUGUUGUUCUGAUUGUCAUGCAGAUCAAUUAUCAACGAAACAUUCCAAUUAUCUUUAGGCAUGCAUUGUUAUGAUCAGAUAUAUACCUUUGCACUGCAUGGCUAAAUAUCUUUGAUCAAUAUGGCUUAAUACACCAGGAGGUACCAUUUCAUUUCAGGCAUUUUGCCUGCAUAUCUCAUUGAGAUUGUCAAUCCUAUUACUGUAGGUUAUAUUAGUUUCUCUAAAUAUGUUGUUACCUGUGGUACUCAUAUCUUUUUUAUCAUUCGGUUAGAAAUUUUCUUUGGUCUGUGUUUUCACAUUGCAUGAGAGAGGAUUUUCAGCAUCCGAGUGCCUAAGCACCCUCUAUGAACAGUAACACCAAAACAAAUAGAAAAAAAAUCGAAAAAAUCUGAAACUUUGCAAGAUCAAAGAUAAUCAAACUUUCUAGGUGCUUGCAUCUUUUAAUUCCAAAAAAAACAUUUGAGGAGUUCUACAGAGGAAAAACAUUUUAGUACUUCAAAUUUUGAGCACUUUUAGCACUGAAAUCUGAAACUUGUUUGUACACCUUUCUUUACAUGAUAUUUUGGCAUGAAAACUUGUUAGAACCUACAAAGUUUGACCAUCUAAUAUGUUGCAAAGUUUCAGUUUUUUAAACAUUUUUCCUUUUUUUUUGAUUUUACUGUUCGUAGAAGGUGUAUAGGCACCCGGGUGCUGUUACACCUUUCUCCACAUUGCAUUGCUUCUUGACUCGGCAAAGAAGAAGUGGACCGAUGUGAUGUGUAAUUUUUUUGGCCUCAAGUAUCCAUUACUUUGUGUAUGAAUCCUUUGAUGUGAUGCGUCAAUUUCACAUUGGAUUUUGCCUGCAUAUACAACAUGCACUCUUAUUGAUGUGCAUAUACAACAUGCACUCUUAUUGCAGCCGUAAAACCUAUGAAUGAUUCUGAUAUAAAUGCACCGGGGUUGGGAGCUUUAGAGCAUUUAUGUGAGGAUCUUGUGCCAUCCCCCCUUUUGCAUGANNNNNNNNNNNNNNNNNNNNNNNNNNNNNNNNNNNNNNNNNNNNNNNNNNNNNNNNNNNNNNNNNNNNNNNNNNNNNNNNNNNNNNNNNNNNNNNNNNNNCAUCCCCAACCUACACUAGAGGCUCACCAACCAAAUCUAGUUAGUUGACUGCAUAAAGAACCAUGUCCAAAAGUGGGCCACAGGUUAUCAAACAAAUUAAGUUUGUGCACUUACGCAGCUAUUAUAAAACAUAAUUUGCAUUCCAUGUAUAUUUAUCUAGUAUUGAUGUCACGUACCAUGGGUAUUUUUGGAUAUAUUUGGAAGAUAUAUUCAACCAAAUACUCACCUAAAUAUGCCAACAACUUGGAUGGACAACUUAUUCAUUUUGGUAGGAGUAUUCAUAAAUUGUCUUGAAGAUACGGGGUUAAGUAGUAUUGUUUCUGUAAAGAAAUAUAAGAGUGUCUAGAUUACUACUUUAGUGAUCUAAACGCUUAUAUUUCUUUAUGAAGGGAGUAGAUCUAGUGAUGCUCAUGAUUCUUACUAUUAUUGUUAUUGUUGUUAUUAUUAUUACAAAAAUAAUAUUACUUUUUAUAUUAUGUAUUGGAGGCUUUCAAAAAAUUGCCAAGUAAACUGGAGACAAAAAGGAAAAUCAUGGUCACACAAUCUACAUAACUAACAAAGUCUACCGCCAUGAAAAAAAUGUAGUCUACGAUUUCCAUUUAUUCUGCAAACAAAAAAGUGACACCUGAAUUAAAGUCAUGUAGCCGAAAGAAUUUAAGGAUCCAUAUGAUUGUAAUCAGUCUAGUGCGGAGAAUAAGAUUUCAUCUCAAAACAAGANNNNNNNNNNNNNNNNNNNNNNNNNNNNNNNNNNNNNNNNNNNNNNNNNNNNNNNNNNNNNNNNNNNNNNNNNNNNNNNNNNNNNNNNNNNNNNNNNNNNUCAUGCAAAAGGGGGGAUGGCACAAGAUCCUCACAUAAAUGCUCUAAAUUUACGAGCCUCACAUAAAUGCAAAAGGGGGGAUGGCACAAGAAAAUUUACGAGUUGGAGUUGGAGAUGCCCUAAUAGACAAGGAAACAUAAUUAUUAUAAAAAUUAAGAAGAAAGAACAUGUUGCGGCAUUUGAUUUAACACUUUGCAAAACAGUUUGAAAUUUGAACGAGGCGUUGUAGACCGGUCAAUAACCAAAAUACUCCGUACUUAUCUUGCCCAAAACGGGACUGUGGGUCUGUCUGCCAUAGAGAAAGUUAAGAGGCAAGCCUAUACUGACUGGUUCGGGGCUCACUUUGUCCUUUGGUAUCGCCGGAGUAUUCCCCCCUCCCCCUCCUCCUCUUUCUUCUCCGGCCGAGCGCAUCCGCAGCUCCAAGGAUGGCCGACGCCCCCGACCCUCUGGAACCCCUGGAGCCAGAUCCCGUAACAGGUAAAGCACAUGUACCAACUUUUUCCAGUAUUUGCAUCGCGCUGCCGCGCCGUCCAUCACCNNNNNNNNNNNNNNNNNNNNNNNNNNNNNNNNNNNNNNNNNNNNNNNNNNNNNNNNNNNNNNNNNNNNNNNNNNNNNNNNNNNNNNNNNNNNNNNNNNNNAUAAGUAAAUGCACGAAGAAUACCAAAUGAAGUCAGAAAUUGUUGAAAAUUUGUGAUGUGCCUUUGAAUGGUGCAUUUUGAACGCACAAAAAUUAUGGAGUUUAAAUAAGUUGAAAAAAAUGAAAUCCCUUUGUAAGAGAUGAGUUCUCGUUCGAAACUCUGAUACUUCGAGAGAGAUUGUUCGUUUUGUACACAAAGUGCAUCCAGUUUUUGUCGUAGCCCUCUCAACUUUUUAACACAUGCUAUGUGGGUGAAAUGAUGAUAGCAUGUCAACUUUCAACAUUUUCAGAGUUCAUUUGUAGUGCUUUCCAAUUUCAGGGUCAACUGGCUCAAAAAAAAAGUAAAUGCAUGAAGAAUACCAAAUGAAGUCAGAAAUAGUUAAAAUUUUGUGAUGUGCCUUUGAAUGGUGCAUUUUGAACACACAAAAAGUAUGGAGUUCAAAAAAGUUCAAAAAAAUGAAAUCCCUUUGUAAGAGAUGAGUUCUCGUUCAAAACGCUCAUACUUCGAGACAGAUUGUCCGUUUUGUACACGAAGUGCAUACAGUUUUUGUCGUAGCCCUCUCAACUUUUUAACACAUGCUAUGUGGGUNNNNNNNNNNAUGAAAUCCCUUUGUAAGAGAUGAGUUCUGGUUCGAAACCCUCAUACUUCGAGAGAGAUUGUCCGUUUUGUACACGAAGUGCAUCCAGUUUUUGUCGUAGCCCUCUCAACUUUUUAACACAUGCUAUGUGGGUGAAAUGAUGAUAGCAUGCCAACUUUCAACAUUUUCAGAGUUCAUUUGUAGUGCUUUUCAAUUUCAGGGUCAACUAGCUCAAAAACAAAUAAGUAAAUGCAUGAAGAAUACCAAAUGAAGUCAGAAAUUAUUGAAAUUUUGUGAUGUUCCUUUGAAUGGUGCAUUUUGAACACACAAAAAGUAUGGAGUUCAAAUANNNNNNNNNNNNNNNNNNNNNNNNNNNNNNNNNNNNNNNNNNNNNNNNNNNNNNNNNNNNNNNNNNNNNNNNNNNNNNNNNNNNNNNNNNNNNNNNNNNNUGCUCCGGAGGUUGGUGAUGACCUCGUCUCAGCAGGGCUCCGCCCGAGCUCCGCAGAAACGCGAUCUAGAGGAAAAACCGUGGAGGUAUGUGGUCGGGCUGCUGUGAAAAAGUCGUCUCAAAUCAGCCAUAAAACCUCCGUAUAUAUAGGUGGGAGGGAGGGGGCCUUGCCUUGGGGCUCAAAGGGGGUCGGCCGAGUCCAAGGGGGAAGGAUCCCCCCCCCAAACCGAGUUGGACUUGGUUUGGUGGGUGGGAGUCCUUCCNNNNNNNNNNGGAGGCAGCCUCAAAACCUAAAGGUUUGGCCGAAAUUGGAGGUGGAGGAGUCCUACUCCAAUCCUACUUGGAGUAGGAUUCCACCUUCCCACUUGGAAACUCUUUUCACCUUGUGUUUUUUCCUUCUCAAACCUUAUGGGCCUUAGUGGGAAUUUAUUCCAGCCCACUAGGGGCUGUUUUAUCUCUUCCCAUAGCCCAUGAGACCCCUUGGGGCGUGACACCCCUCCCGAUGGUCCCCGGCACCCCUCCCGGCACUCCCGGUACACUACCGAUGAGCCCGAAACUUUUCCGGUAAUGCACGAAAACCUUCCGGUAACCAAAUGAGGUCAUCCUAUAUAUCAAUCUUCGUUUCCGGACCAUUCCGGAAACCCUCAUGACGUCCGUGAUCUCAUCCGGGACUCCGAACAACAUUCGGUAACCAACCANNNNNNNNNNNNNNNNNNNNNNNNNNNNNNNNNNNNNNNNNNNNNNNNNNNNNNNNNNNNNNNNNNNNNNNNNNNNNNNNNNNNNNNNNNNNNNNNNNNNCUCUCGUAGAUGGACAUCACCAUGAUAGGUCUUCGUGCGCGUAGGAAAUUUUUUGUUUCCCAUGCGACGUUCCCCUACAGUGGCAUCAUGAGCUAGGUUCAUGCGUAGAUGUCUUCUAGAGUAGAACACAAAAGUUUUUGUGGGCGGUGAUGUGCGUUUUGCUUCCCUCCUUAGUCUUUUCUUGAUUCCGCGGUAUUGUUGGAUUGAAGCGGCUUGGACCGACAUUACUCGUACGCUUACGAGAGANNNNNNNNNNAUUCCUCAACAGUGGCAUCAUGAGCUAGGUUCAUGCGUAGAUGUCUUCUUGAGUAGAACACAAACGUUUUUGUGGGCGGUGAUGUGCGUUUUGCUGCCCUCCUUAGUCUUUUCUUGAUUCCGCGGUAUUAUUGGAUUGAAGCAGCUUGGACCGACAUUACUCGUACGCUUACGAGAGACUGGUUUCAUCGCUACGAGUAACCCCGUUGCUCAAAGAUGACUGGCAAGUGUCGGUUUCUCCAACUUUAGUUGAAUCGGAUUUGACCGAGGAGGUCCUUGGAUGAGGUUAAAUAGCAACUCAUAUAUCUCCGUUGUGGUGUUUGCGUAAGUAAGAUGCGAUCCUACUAGAUACCGAUGGUCACCACGUAAAACAUGCAACAACAAAAUUAGAGGACGUCUAACUUGUUUUUGCAGGGUAUGCUUGUGAUGUGAUAUGACCAACGAUGUGAUGUGAUAUAUUGGAUGUAUGAGAUGAUCAUGUUGUANNNNNNNNNNNNNNNNNNNNNNNNNNNNNNNNNNNNNNNNNNNNNNNNNNNNNNNNNNNNNNNNNNNNNNNNNNNNNNNNNNNNNNNNNNNNNNNNNNNNCUUCUUCUUCUUCUUCUUUCUUAUUUUCUUCUCCGCUUCUUCUUCAACUUCUCUUCUUCUACUUCUCCUCUUCUUCUAUUUUUCCUCUUCUUCUCCUCUCCUCCUCUUCUUAUUCUCCUUUUUCUUCUUUUCUUCUCCUCCUCUUCUUAUUUUCCUUUUUCCUAAUCUUAUUUUCUUAUUUUUGUUCAUAUUUCUUCUUCUUGUAACCCUAACCUAAUUCUAAAUAUUAGUAACCCUAAUAAUCUAGCACAAACCUAAUAACAAUAGGAAUUAAAUGACAAAAAAAUCUUUUCUUUUUCUUCUUUUCUUCCCUUUUUCUUCUUUUCUUCUCCUUUUUCUUCCUUUUUCAACUUUUUCUUCCUUUCUUCUCCUUUUUCUUCCUUUCUUCUCCUUUUUCUUCCUUUCUUCUCCUUUUUCUUCCUUUCUUCCCUUUUUCUUCCUUUCUUCUUCUUUUCUUCUCUUUUUUCUUAUUUUCUUCUCCUUUUUCUUCUUUUCUUCCCUUUUUCUUCUUUUCUUCUCCUUUUUCUUCCUUUUUCAACUUUUUCUUCCUUUCUUCUCCUUUUUCUUCCUUUCUUCUCCUUUUUCUUCCUUUCUUCUCCUUUUUCUCCCUUUCUUCUCCUUUUUAUUCCUUUCUUCUCCUUUUUCUUCCUUCCUUCUCCUUUUUCUUCCUUUCUUCCCUUUUCUUCUUUUCUUCUCCUUUUUCUUCUUAUCUUCUCCUUUUUCUUCUUUUCUUCUCCUUUUUCUUCUUUUCUUCUACCGGCCGGAGUGUUGGGGAGGACGGGGCGGGGGGCUUACCGGCCGGNNNNNNNNNNNNNNNNNNNNNNNNNNNNNNNNNNNNNNNNNNNNNNNNNNNNNNNNNNNNNNNNNNNNNNNNNNNNNNNNNNNNNNNNNNNNNNNNNNNNAUUCCUAUGACCAUGAGAUCAUAUAACUCACUGACACCGGAGGAAUGCUUUGUGUGUAUCAAACGUCGCAACGUAACUGCGUGACUAUAAAGAUGUUCUACAGGUAUCUCCGAAGGUGUUAGCUGAGUUAGUAUGGAUCAAGACUGGGAUUUGUCACUCCGUGUGACGGAGNNNNNNNNNNGAACGUCGCAACGUAACUGGGUGACUAUAAAGAUGUUCUACAGGUAUCUCCGAAGGUGUUAGUUGAGUUAGUAUGGAUCAAGACUGGGAUUUGUCACUCCGUGUGACGGAGAGGUAUCUCGGGGCCCACUCGGUAAUACAACAUCACACACAAGCCUUGCAAGCAAUGUAACUUAGUGUAAGUUGCCGGAUCUUGUAUUACAGAACGAGUAAAGAGACUUGCCGGUAAACGAGAUUGAAAUAGGUAUGCGGAUGCUGACGAUCGAAUCUCGGGCAAGUAACAUACCGAAGGACAAAGGGAAUGACAUACGGGAUUAUAUGAAUCCUUAGCACUGAGGUUCAAACGAUAAGAUCUUCGUAGAAUAUGUAGGAUCCAAUAUGGGCAUCCAGGUCCCGCUAUUGGAUAUUGACCGAGGAGUCACUCGGGUCAUGUCUACAUAGUUCUCGAACCCGCAGGGUCUGCACACUUAAGGUUCGACGUUGUUUUAUGCGUAUUUGAGUUAUAUGGUUGGUUACCGAAUGUUGUUCGGAGUCUCGGAUGAGAUCACGGACGUCNNNNNNNNNNNNNNNNNNNNNNNNNNNNNNNNNNNNNNNNNNNNNNNNNNNNNNNNNNNNNNNNNNNNNNNNNNNNNNNNNNNNNNNNNNNNNNNNNNNNGGCGAGGAAGAGCGGUCUGACCUUGCCGCCGAGGCGCCGACCUCGUACGCGACGGCCUCGUGGCUCUCGCUGGCGACCUUCAGCUGGAUCAACCCGCUCAUCACCAAGGGCUACAGCGCGGCUAUCGGCGCCCAAGAGGUCCCGCCGGUGGCGCCCUCCGAUACCGCCGNNNNNNNNNNNNNNNNNNNNNNNNNNNNNNNNNNNNNNNNNNNNNNNNNNNNNNNNNNNNNNNNNNNNNNNNNNNNNNNNNNNNNNNNNNNNNCUCUUCGUGUCCAACUGGCCGGCGCCGGGGUCCAAGCCCGGCCACCCGGUGGUCACCGCGCUGCUGCGGUCCUUCUGGCCCCAGUUCCUGCUCACCGCCGCGCUGGGCGUGGCGCACCUCUCGGUCAUGUACAUCGGCCCGUCGCUGGUCGACAGGUUCGUCCAGUUCGUUCGCGGCGGCGGAGAGAUGAAGGAGGGGCUGCGGCUGGUCGCCAUCCUCCUCGCCGGCAAGGCCGCNNNNNNNNNNNNNNNNNNNNNNNNNNNNNNNNNNNNNNNNNNNNNNNNNNNNNNNNNNNNNNNNNNNNNNNNNNNNNNNNNNNCACUACGAGUUCCAGGGGCAGAAGCUGGGGAUGCGCAUCCGUGCUGCUCUGCUCUCCGUGGUGUACCGCAAGUCGCUGCGGCUGUCCACGGGCGCGCGGCGAGCGCACGGCGCCGGCACCAUCGUCAACUACAUGGAGGUGGAUGCCGAGGAGGUGUCCACUGUCACGCACCAGCUCCACAACCUUUGGCUGAUGCCGCUGCAGAUCGCCGUCGCCCUCGCCCUGCUCUACACCCACCUCGGCCCNNNNNNNNNNNNNNNNNNNNNNNNNNNNNNNNNNNNNNNNNNNNNNNNNNNNNNNNNNNNNNNNNNNNNNNNNNNNNNNNNNNNNNNNNNNNNNNNNNNNAUCCUGUGUAUAUGGAUAAAAAUAGAGUGAGUACAUACAUUUCAGGGCUUGUGAUCAGAUAGAUACAGAAAUGUUUAGUACAGUAUGUUGUAUGAUAUUCAUGGUCUUCUACUUACAGCGAGCUCAGGGCAUGUGAAGUGCCACAUACAGGAUGUGCCAGAUACGAGGCGACCACUCUUCGAUCUGACGUAGGAGUCCAUCCGUAUUGCCUCCAAGCAAUUC